AGUUUCUCAAGAGAAGCAAGCGGUAUCUAAGUCUGGUGGGUGUCCAAGCCUAACUGCCGCUUAGCUCGCUGCCGCCAUGAAUAAAGAGUGAUAACUCGUUAUGACCAAGUCCUGUCCUGUACGGGCUCUGCUCUAUCAGCUGACUCUAAAUCAUAUGUACUACUUCCUGCUUACUUUAAUGCUCUAUCCGCUCUGACUCAAAAAGCAACAGAAUAAGAAGCAACCGGUGCCUCACGCUACUAACUUCUUGUUUCGGGGUUAGGUGGAGCUAGAUCUGGAUCAGAGGCUUGAUCUGUGCCAACUCAAUCGGAUAGUGGAACAAAAACGAUUCUAUCUGUCUGUACCAACUCCAUAAGAGAAAUUCCAUACUGAAGUUUGAGGGUGGUAGGACUUUCCCUUUGCUUUGCAUGCUUGGCGGAACCUUGUAGUGGUCGACCCCUGCUCUAGCUGGUAACUCCACUGAUUCUAGUCGGUGCUGUAGCUACUUGUCGGCGAGUGACAGUUCCUGUUCGAGUUUCAUCAUAUAUAGAUAGAAUAAGAUAAUAUGCUGUGCGGUACCCAUAUAGGUAUAAUAAGAUAAUAUGCUGUGCGGUACCCAGGCGUUGAACCGCUCCUGCCGCGCAAGCGAACAGAGAAUAGUUUUGGUUCAUCUUAAGUCGCUAAUGGAAUGGGAACCGCUCCUUACGCGCAUUCGUGCUGUUGUUCCAAAGGUGGUAUUUUUUUUCACUAAGUCAGGAAAGAAUAAGGUCCGGAAUGAAUGAAGAAGGGAGUUGGUUACAUCAUUCUUUGUCAAUGCUACUCCUUUGUGCGGGGUAGAAGGACUAAUGGAAUUAUCCUAAGGAGAUAGAUUCUUUCUAAGCCUAUCUAUAAGAGGAUGAUAGAAGGCAUAAUUCCGGGGUUUCUAAGAAGGAAGUGGGCUCCAUCCCCCUAUUAUUACCUGAUAGCUCCAUCCUCUUCUUAUGUUUAUUACUUUAACACAAACAAGGGAUUACUGAAACUAUAGCACCGAACCUAGUAGCACCCAAAGCAAAGAGACGAGACUUGAAGUUCAAAACAAACCGCUUGCACCUGCUCUUAACCGGCCAGUACUGGAUUAUUACCUUCGCCCUGCCAGGCAAUUCUUCACUACUCUAAGAUUUCCCGAAACUACUUGUUCUUUCGCCCUGUCCUUGCUUUUCAUUCGCAACUGUAGUUGCUCAUCCCGUUGCUUGGCCCCUUUGCUUCAACUCCCCUUGAGUACCUAAUUGUGGAUUCUCUUGGCAAACUAUACUUUCCUUCCUCUUAUACUUAUUAUUCUGUUACCAAUGACCCAGUACAGGAUUCUUUUAUUCCCGCUUGGCACAAGCUACUACUCAUUCUGUUUUCGGGAGCUCCAGUAGGGAGUUAGUAUGAGUCAUUAAAGUCACAGUUUUAGGGGUCAGCUACUUAUCCCUUCCUUUGGUGACUUUGAUUCUCUAAAUGCUAAGUUAACCUACAUUCCAUUCCACAAGUCCAGUUUUUGGCUACCCCAUAUCUAUUCUCUUAGCGUCUAGACUGCUGACUUUAGACCGAGAUACUUGACUGCUCCUGCUUAUGCUUGAAAGCCUAUAUCCCUUUUUUCCUUUAGCGUGUAAGACCCAUGUUCCUAGUAGCCCCCUAAAACAUAAUGGUCGGUAAGUGAACUCUAUUCUUAAAAGAGAACUAGGUUUGUUAGGUACCCAUAUCUAUGAAAAUAAGGUUGGUCAGGUACCAAUAUCUCUAUGAAAAGAAUAUAUAAGUGUAUAAUAUGCCCUGCUUCUAUAUGAUCUCGUUUAACAAUUCGAUUCUUCUCCUUUAUUCAUCAUGGUUUUGAUGCCCCCUAAGUGGUCCAACCCCAAGCAUGAAAGGUUUACUCGGCAUCAGGAAAGAUAGUUUCAAGUAAGAUAGGUGAAGAAAGUGAUAUUUCAGUAGAAUUUGACUGAGACACAUAUAGACCCAAAGAGCGGUAACCAAAGAGAUAGGUUGGAUUCGAGAUGAUCUUCUUUCUUCUUUAUACGAUGACUUUUCGCACGGCAUCUGAAACUAUAACUGGAACUCUACUUUAUACAGCUAAUUCACCUUAUUCCUCUUCUCCUGAUCCUUCUGAUUUACAAUAUUCUAGUGGAUACUCAACGGAAGAAGAAACUAGCACAGCGUAGCCAAUCACUUCUAUUGGAGACUUUGCGCGCGCACACCUAAUAGCUACUGUUUCCUGCUCUGUGGUGUGGGCAUGAGAUUAGCAUUCGGCUUCUGUAAACUCGGAUGAAACUCAAACCGUAUCAGCUUCAUCAGAAGUGCUAGAUGAUGACCUUCCUUAACCUAGCUUUCCAGUCAAUACUAACCGAUACCCCUCUGCCUGGCUGUGGAAUGAAGUUCAAUCAAAAGAGAAACACAGGAGCCUAAGUAGGCCUAAUUCUGGUAUCAAAUCAAUUGAAUUAGAUGAACUCUAGUUCUUAAAGAAGCAAGUCAAGUUAUCGGUGAAGAAAUAUAAGUGAUAGUGGAAUCUGUAUUAGUUGACUACCCGGUAUUGUAUUAUUAGUAUGAGUAAAGAGGAAAGAAGUUUCAGAGUGCUAGGUGUGUUGGCUACUAGUUUCAUCCCGUAGAGUUAAUGGGUUUACUAAUGAAAUGGAAUCUAAAGCAGAAGCAUCAGAUCUUCUCUCCAACUCUGGAAGUAAGGUUUCAUCUAAUACAAAGAAUAAGGUGCUGAAAGCCUACAAAUACUUACUGAAACUAGCCAAGCUACUAUUGAGGAAGGAAAGAAAGCCAGUUAGUGCAGAGGCUACAAUUGACAAGCUUAAGGAGUAAUGUUGCCCGGAAAGCAGGAUUCCAGUCUCGUUGACUCGGCAGGGAGGAAAGUGAAAGUUCUCUUAGUGCUACAGAAUUGACUACCUCCCGGAAAGCUUAUCUCAAGGCGACAUCCCGGCCAAGCAGACAGCCAGCCAAGAUCCUUCAAUACCAGAUGCGUAAGAUUUGUGAUAUGCGUAAGAUGGGUGAUACGGGUGGUUCCUCUCCUUCAAUGCUUCAAUGAAUAGAUAUAACGGCCAAGCUUAGGAUAGACAAGACACGCAGACAAGUAACUACUCCAUUCCCUCACUGCGGUUGUUACUUUAGCGUAACAUUAUAAGUGUCUUGGCGGGGAUUCAACCAGAACGGGAUCAGGAGCAGUACUAAAGGGAUGGGAUUCCACUCGCCCAGCAGAGCCAGCAGGGUUCAAUGAAUUGUAAACAUUGACUAAGAGAGCUUAGUUACUUAUGGUAAAAGGAAUGAGACCUUCUAAGCCCCAUAACUGCCACUACUGCUAUACCCAAACCAUACCCGAAACUAAGCUUUGGCACUAAGAAUAAGGGAACGAAUAAAGGAACUCUGCCUCUUGCUCUACAACAGUUGUUACCGAGUCCUUUGUUUGGGUUAGUGACUUAUUAACAGCAGUGAAAUCUCAAUAGGGAACUUCACCUUACCCAGUAGCAGUGAAAUCUCCAGCUCGGAAAGCACUCUCCAUUAAGUGGUAAAGAGAAAGGGUUGAUACAAUGCAAUCGGUAACUAUUUCUUUGAUACCUGAAUUCGGCUACUAUACUCUGGUUCCUUGAUACUCUCUCUGCUCUAGCUGUUAGUAACGAGUCCUGUGUGAGCCUGUCCGGUAAGAACUAGUUCGGUUUACAAGGGUUUCGUCAAAGUGGUAUUUACUACUUGUUUAUAGACUUACCCAUCACCUGCAGGCUCUGGCUCUGUGAACUCGGUGGGCAAGGGGCCAAGCAACUUCUAAUGACCAAGCAACGGCGAAAGACGUUGGGCGGUAGCCAAUAAACAGUUCUUACGAAGUUAUUACAAUAUAUGCCUUCGGCGGCAGGAGCCCCGGUAAUAUUAGUGGAAUUCUGGGACGAGUGAGAAGAAGACCGCUACUUAGCUACCCGGCUGCAUUCUGGUUAGCACUAGUUUCAGUAUGUGGCUAGUUAGUGUCAUUCUUAUCUACUACCCUGGAUGCUCUGAUCCACUACCCUAGAUGCUUGGCCCUUUGACAAUAGGUGGUUUAAUAACAUUCUUAUGGAUUAACUCGUUGAUGAAUGGAGGGCCCACUUUACGACGAGAAAGAAUUUGUACUCUAUAAAGCGAUAUUGAGCUGUAGUUAUCAAGUGGUCGUGUACUGUGUCUAUAGGAGAAUCUUUUAUCAACAUUUCUUUGACUACACUCAUUGCGGGCAUCCCUAUAACAUUUCUUUGCCUACACUCAUUGCGGGCAUCCCUCUCGGUCGAUAUUUCAGUAUUCCUAUAUACCCUACAAAAGAUGAAGUCUAUCAUAAACCCGGACUCCAUUAUCAUCUCGUCCUGUACCGUGGUCAAGUUAGGGACUCUCUCGAAAACUGGGUGAUCCCUAGCUGAUGCGAUCCAGCCGAGAUGGCGGAUCAACCGGAUCUUUCAUUCCAUGCCUUAUCUUUCGUUUUACAGAACUUCUAGCACUCGAAGCAUUCUCCUUAUGAUGAGAGAGAUGGUCUUGUUAGAAGGCGAGUAGUCCCUCUUGGAUCUUCUUCCUGCCAUUAGCUAAGAGACAGCUGGAUCGGACCUCUAUCUCGGACUUCCUGAAUUCAUGCUGGUUACAAAGAGAAAUCCACUCGCGGAAUCAGGACCUUGGCCAAAGAUGGAGUAAUAGGUUUCCGGGUAUGUGAGAACUUGUCGUCUUUGUCAGCAGGACCGUCGUGGAGCGGGUUGGAGCCAUUGCCUAUACAACAUCAAAAAGCUUCCAUCGCCCCGGAGAGACUUAGCUUAAUCUGGACGUCUUCCCAUUUCCAUUAAUUCCUUGACUUGUAACGAUAGUUCCUUUAAGACCAGUAUAGGGCUUUCAGGCGCCUGAUCUUAAUGAUAGGUGCGGUGCCGAGUGAAAGGCAAAAGUCAAGAUUACGUGCACCCAUGUCAAAGGUAACCGAGUCAUCGGAAAGGAAAAGGGAAUAGGUGGUUUUGCGCAUCCAAGGAUAAGGGUUUUGUUGCUUAAUAGCGGAUUCGUAGGUUACUAAAAAGAAAGUGGGAUUGGAAAUGGAACUCUCGACCUGACCUGGGGCGGAUAGGAAUUUCGACUUUCAAUGGAAUCAUUGGCUGGAUCGAGAUUAGAGCCCUUUCAUGAGUUUGAGCCCAGAGAGAUACCAAACUAACUGGACCUACUCCAUACACUUUUGGAAAAGUAGGAGCUUGUUAGUUAGUAUUUAUAGUAUGCUGUGGUUAGUGACUUAAUUGUAUCAUAUGCAACCUAAGCUAACGCUGACUUUUCUGUUGUUGCACUGGGCAAUAAUAAAGUAAAGGUGCUUGGCUUUCCCUUCCUUGACCUGACCGCAGGGUUUUUACUGAAUUCUAUUAGAUGAGCGCUCUCUUCAACAAGCAAGGGAACAAGUGAGUUUGUCGGCGCAAGAACAAGUGUAUGAGUGACAGAAGCCCUUUAACGAGGUGAGUUAACCGGCGCAAGAACAAGUGUAUGAGUGACAGAAGCCUUUUCUCGAGUGCUUUUCGACCUUGUAGUUUCAGAGUAGAGUUCCAGAAGUGCUUGUGUGCCAACCGUCCUUUGAAAUGAGUAAACGUUCUUUCUUCAUUGUCAAUAGUGCCCUUUCAGAUGUGUGGUGGGAGACCCGAUCUUAGAUCCUAAAUGGAGUCUCGUUGCAGGAAUGGGAUAAAUAAAGAAAUACUAUUACUGAUUUCAAUGAGAGUGGGAAGGAAGAGAGCAAGGAAGAGGCAUUCUGUUCUAUACUUUAGAGUGAGAAUCCUGGAGAAGAAGAGAAAAUCAUAUAAUCGAUUCUAUAUCCUCCAUAAAAGAAGGAGCUGUUAGUUAACUUAUGUAUGACUGACUUUAUCCAUUUUCAUGUAAUUCUCCAAUCUAUUUCUCUUACCAGCAAGCGGGAACGAAAGAAUAAGCAAUUGGGGGGCAGUAUGGAACUUGAUUCAAUAAUAAGAUAUAAGGCCCAAUGAAACAAACUAACUAACUAUGUUUUGAUUCGGAGGAUUGGGAAGUCAAUAAGAUAAAGUAUAGUAAGGCUUAUGAAUUACAGUACUUGGUGCAGGGAUAUAAUACCCCGUAUAUCAUGAGGCAAGAGAGAUAGAACUUUCUCAUUGCCGAGAGGUUUACUUCAGACUUCGAAGCCUCUAUUUCGGGUGCUUGCUUGAAACCCGGCCCGGCCCUGACUCUUUUUGUUUCCUAUCAAGAACCACUUCCCUUAGGCAACUCCAUUUACUGACUUACUAUUUCUCUAUCUCCAUAUGCCUCUGUCUAUCUUCCGACUAUUUCUCUAUCUCCAUAUGCCUCUGUCUAUCUUCCCCUUUUCCACGGGCUGGCUAAUCGAGUGAGUGCUUUUUGUGCAGAAAGAGUUAGGUAAGAAGGAAAGUUCUCAGAUACAGCAAUGCUUCUCUCUGGGAAAAAAACACUUGAUGAGGCUUCCUUACCAGAAGAGAAAGAGAAAGGAGAUGGACUGAUUCUAUGGUAGUGUUUAUUGCUUUCAACCUCCUCAAUUUCCUUCUCUCGUAUGCCAUCUGAGGACCUUGAUCCCCACUAUAGUAGCCCGAGUAAGAAAGUCCAAAUAUUCAAAUAAUGGAAAAACGCGAAGUUGACAGUUCUCUUUUUGCUAGAUUGACCUGACUUCAUUCGUGAAAAUCCGAACCUAUUGUAUUCCUGGCUGGAUCAGACCUCUAUGGGCCGAGCUCGUUCUUUCAUUUUAGGGAUUUUCUUAAAGGAAAGAGAAUUCUCUGGAUUGGAAAGUGCCCCCAGGUACGUAGACCUCGAUCCAAGCCCUUUUGUUACGUUAAUGGGAUAUCUGCUUUGGCAUUUCCCAAGUUCCGUUCUUCUAAAGCUUUGAUUCUUGAAACCUUAUUUCUUUGAUUUCCUUUGGAGCGGUAGAGAAAAAGAAGUAGACUCUCGUUAACUAAUUCGAAAAAGCAUGCUUAGAAACGUCUCUCUUUUGGAGGGUUGGAAGAAUCUAAUAUGAACAUGGAUUUCUAGUCCUUAAGUGUUGUAUAUUUUAUGGUUCUUUUUAUAUGAAAGCGGAUUGGAGACUUGACCGCGUUAAGCUAGCCCUCCGAACCGCUCUCGCUCGAUCAUUUGAAUAGGGGAAGUCAUCAGCUAAAAAAACUCCUGCAAGCCGCCCACUAAGUAAGAGCUCUGGCAAAUCAUUGAAUAGGAGUGUUGGAAAGCACUCAACUCAAACCUGCGCAGGAACAAGUAUAGUUGAGAGAGGUCGGGCCGGGUGUUAGUGUUUAAGUAGAGUUAUUGUGCGAAGAAAAUCCAGUAUAGGGUCGAAUGGCCUGAGUGUCCCGCUGCUUAGCCUUGUGAAACUGAUUGUACUGCUGGAGCAAUUGUGAAACUGAUUGUACUGCUGGAGCAAGUAGGUUCGAUAGGUGGGGUAUAUUUCCGAGUGGAGAUAGGUUGGGGAAGAAGAAAGUGUAUAUCCUAUAGAAGCAGGACUAUAAGCAAGAUCCGAAAGAGUUCAUUCCGUUUCUGUCGAGGUCCAGUCUCAAGUCGAGUCACAGUUCAAGUCAGAGUGAAGUCGACAACUUAAGAAGCAGUUUCAAGAGACGGAUCAGGCUCAGAACGGAAAGUCGAAGGUUGAGACAGAAUCUAAUCUAAAGUAAGCUGUUAUAGCAGUUGAAACAGAGGAAGCAGUGGUCUUUACCCGCAAUUAAUAAGUUAGCAAGUCCUUUUGAUUAGGCUAAGGCGUCAGUUAAUGAUUUUCCUGGUUGGUUGACCCGGGUUGGUUGGUUUACCCGGCACUUUUCAUCGUAUUUAGAAAGAAGCUCUGCUGAGGUGCUCUAGCUCUAAGUCUACGAGAUAAGAAACAAGUUGGUAUAGAACCAGAAUAAGGAACAGUGGAAUAAGUAUCUUCAGCAAUAGAUGGGGCAAGUCUUGUUGAGGUCGAGGUGAAAGUCAGAGUAUAAAGUAGGCGGGAAGUUGUUAAUUGUUCAAGAAAACAGUAGAUGUAGGAUUCCUUAUAAGGCCUUGAUCCAGGUCUGAUAGCUAGAAGAUGGAUAACCACCGAUUUGAUAAGAAAGUAACAACACAGCGAUACUUACAUGUUGAUGGAAGAAAGUAACCGAACAGCGAUACUUACAUGUUGAACAAAUUGCUUCUCAACUCACUACUGACUUAUGGAACUUGAAUGAAUUGGGGCUGACUGACCUUUUAGGUAUCGAAUUAUUGCGCAUGUCGUUUGUUGCUAGCGUUACUAAUGAUGUUUCUAUAGCUUAUUUCCUAGUAGCUCUGUUAGCGAGUUUGGCACUGCUUACAAUUAUUCCGCUUCCUAUGUGGGUGGUUCAUUGAUGUGUUGAAGCAGCGCUAUAGGAUGCUUGAGUUUGCUAGCUAACGGGUUAACCCAAUUUCCAUGAAGGCACUUUCUUUGGUCGAGAGAGAUCAACUCUACUGUCUUUUGAUUCUCGUUAUGUAAGCCUUAACCACGCAGUCUAUAGAUAGAGUUGGGACAGGCAAUACUUAACUACACUUUCCUUUCGAACUGCAAUGGAAUCUUUGGACCACCAAUAAUAGAGUAAUUAAUAACACUGUUUCUUUUCUUAUAAGCUAGUCCUCUUAUUCUCUUGCCGACCUUACCUCUACAUGAAGUUCAUAAUUGGAUUUGAUCUCUCUUGUACAUGGUAUAGCAUUUGAGUGUAAAGAUACGGAACUUGUCCUUGUUUGUUGCGCUAACGGAGCUGACGGUUAUGCAUUAGCUUACUUUCCAGGGUGUCAAUAUUCAUGAGAUAGUUUUUGAGUGUUGUAGAGUUUCGCAGUGUGGUUAGAUAGAGCAUGAGCUGGAUCUGAAUUAGGAUAUUAAGCAUAAGAGGGAGCAGGAGUAGUGUGCGAAUCCCUUAAUGGAUAAAGUAAUGCAAUCAAACAAACAUGUGAACAAAACUCACUAGCAAACUCGGUAAUGUAAGCUUAUUCUCGGGAUGCGUUAGUGAGCUCGGGCUCGGGGCUAAUACUUAGCUUCUUUUCCGGAACUUGACUUUCCGUGGGCAGCGGAUUCUCGAGUGGACUUGAAUUGAUUUGCUGCUGACUUUAUACUCUUACUUUUCACUACUUAUGCUGACUUACUUUAUGCUGCUGAUUAAGAUUAUGCUGAUUACUCUUAUUCUCUAAUUACAAUAAUCAUAUUAUAUACGAUCGAUUGCCCUUACUUAUUAAGGCUUGCCCGAACUACACUACAUUGCCAACACAACACCGAUUUGCUUCCCGUAUCAAGCAUCUGAUAUUCUCAUUUCGGAAUGGAAUGAAAGCUUACGGAGUUUUGCUUCAUCUAGCGUUAGGCGAGUUCCAGUUAUUUGUUCGAGUCGAUACUCUUACUCUAGAUGAGGUCAAUUCGAAUCCUCGGACACUACAUCACGGGCUCUUUACAGAAAGAGUGGCCCAUAGCAAUAGCUUUUAGGGAUUCUCGAUCCUCUAAAGUCCGCCUUUUUCGAGAUGUACGGAAAAGGAUCCCCUGGCUUUCUUAAUAGCUUCUUAUUAACUUGCCCUAGUUUCAAUACUCCUUUACUAGUUUCGACUGGCUUUCCUUUCUCAAGUCCCCACGGCAAAUAAUACAACGUUAUCGAAAGCUUCAUUUUCCAGGAAAGGAUGGCUUCAUUUAGGUGUUAAUCUAACUCAGCUCAAUCUAUUCGCUCACUUAGGAAUAAAUGACUUUAACUCGAUGUAUUUCCCUUGCUUGCUUUACGAAACUAGAUUUCACGGAACUAGCAAGAGUGCGAGUAUAAGAGGCCCUUUCAAUAAACCCUUUCAGUAUUACCUACUCUCGAUAGAAACUCUUUUCUCGCCUACCCUUCGCCACGUCAACAGGAUCACUGGGUACUCCAACAAAGGCUGGCAAGCACUUUCACAAUGGAUAUGAUUAUUUUGGCACAAAGCUUAUUAGAGUAUUCUUCCAAAGCAUGUUCUAUAAAGCAUGUUCCUUCUAUAAAGCAUGGAUAGCCGGAAACUAGCAAUAUUACAAGAGAGAAAAGCCACUCUAUCUGAAUCGAAGGUGCUUGCAACUUCACUUACGAGGGACAAACAAACUUGAUGGUAUCUUGUGUCAAUGGUAGCUGGAUGGCCCAGUUAAAGCUCUCCGCAAUCAGAAUAUCCGGCAUUCUUUCUAUCAGCCUCCGAUAAUGGGCAUUGAGCUUGAGAAAAUGUGGAUAACCUGCCUAUAAAGAAAGGUGCUGCAAGCCUUAGAAACGAAAGAAAUUGAUACCAUCGAUAUAGUCUUCGAUUCAACUCGAAAGAAAGUCGAACCUAGAAAAACGAGAGAGAUAUUUGCUAAUCAGGCUCCCCUCCAGGGGUCUCGGGAUAGCAUAGCAAGUGAAAAAGCUGGGAAAAAGCCCAUUUUGGAUGAGGACGUGUGUGGUCGCUGAAAGCCACUACUAUUCCUGAAGUAACGGAGUUCUGAGAACAAGAGGGAUGUGGUGACUAGCCAAGUGGAAUAUGUCAGGCACUCUCCCAGUUAAUUGAUUAGAGCAGGUUGGAAAAGCGUUACUUAAUUGUUUGAAAACUAGAUACAUUCUAGGCUCUUACGUGAAGAUCACUUACCAGCUCUCUAUUGACUUGACUCUAAUAGCCAUAACUAUUCUAGCCUUACUGGCGGAGUUAGGUUCUCUGAUGAGUCUCCCCUUCUUCCGGUUGCUGCCGAAGUAUAUGCUCCGCUUUGGUUAAUAUCCUUGUGCUAUAGCUAUCUUUGCUUACAAUUUGACCGAUAUAAAAGGCGCUUCAUUAAUCUAUCCCUCCCUAAACUAGCUGUUUAGCAUCUUCAAGCUUGGGAAAGAGUGCUCAGAGUAUAUCGGCUAUGUGCUGCCUAUGUUGACUUGGAGGUCCUAAGCACGUAUCUAUCUCUCUUCCUCUCUUCGCUUUGGACUUAAUAGAUUGAAACCCGUUUUUGGAGUGCAAAAUGCCUUUGCUUUGUUUUACCCCUGUCUUUCUUUCUUAUUAAGAGUUUCGUUAUUUGUUUCUUCCCUAUAUAUAUAAGAGUUUCGUUAUUUCUUUCUUUCCUAUAUAUAUAAGAGUUUAUUAGUUAUUUGUUUCUUCUUUUUCUUUCUUAUAUAUAUAAGAGUUUCUUUCUUUCUGAUUUUGCACUUCACUUCUUAUUUGUGUUUGUGUUAGUUUUUCGAAAAACCUUUGCCGAGGAGCUCAUAUAGCGCCAAACAUAAGUCUAAAGGAGAUCGAUAGGGUCCACGGCUCGCUCUUUAGAGAGGAAACACUAAAUGGGAGCCGAUGGCAUUACAUUGACAUGAUUUACAAACGGAGCUGGAACUCGAGGUAGAGGAAAAGGGGGGCAAGGAGGAUGACUUUCUUAUAUAUUUUCGAAUUCGAGAUGAGGGAUGAGCGAGACGCUUGUGCCAAUAACACAUUGGAUGGGAGCCUUCUCUUCUCUGGCUAAAGGUUUUGCCGCGGGAACUCGCACAGAGGCCUUAAACUAAUCAACAUCAUCCUUAUUCGGGCCUCCAUGUAGAAAUCAACCUCGUACGCUGAUCCUUCACCCCCCAAUUCGAUGGGAAAAAGGAAAUGGAAAGUGUCUUGCAGAACAGAGAAACGGAGAAUUUCUUCUUUGUUAAUAGAUGGAACACUAAUAGAGGUUUUUUGAUCUAACAUGUGUUAUACCCAAACCGGAUCCAUCACCUAGAACGAUCUCAUCAGGCCCUUUCAUACUCAUAGUUCAGAGAGAGAUUGCUUAAGUCACUGGUAACACUCUUAGAGGCAGCCGAGUAAACAAGCCAUCCUUUCUUGAUGGGGGGAGAGGACGACGCACAGUUGGCUACAGGAUCCUUAGUUUGGUGGUGCGCGAGGACAUUUUCCGGCGGUGUGGCCGGCUCUUCCAGGUCAUUAGUUUUAGUUGUUAGUUUACACACUCUUUUUUCACCUUGGGCUUUCUGUCCAUUUCGGUUAUUGCUCUAUUUGUUUGCUUGAUUGUUAUUGCUGAGCGAGUGUAAUUGGCUGUUGCUAUGGAUACAUCACUACCAGCUUCUUUUCUUAUAAGAGACCCCUCAUAUGCCACCAGCUUCUUACCCCUCAUAUGCCACCAGCUUCUCAUGCAACUCCUCAAAGGUUAUGGGAUUUUCUCGUGCACGAACCAGCAAUCUCCUUUCACUCUGACCAUUCUUAGCAUUCAUAACGAUAUCGUCCUCAGCCAAUGGUGCAUCAAUGAUGGCUAACUCAUCUUAGAUAGUAUUUCUCUGUUGUGCAAGUCUUUUGCCACAGGUUUCGAGUCAUGGCGAGUGAGGGUGAGCCGCUCUUUCUGAUUCAUAACUCUUGAGCGAGAUCUAUUUGCAUAAAGUUUGCCAAGCUUCGUCUAGGCUUCAUGAGAUGUUUUUUCAGAUGCUAUAAGAGGCAUGCCCUAUUCUGAGACUGAUGCAAUGAUAGCAUGCAGCAACAACGGAUCCUGUCGAACCCAAUAGGUGUAGGAUUUGGUGAGACCGAGUGAUUAAAGGGCACCCAUCCUGAACAACGGUCUUUCGAAGGGCAUGGCACAGAGCCAUCAACAAAGCCCAUCAGGUCAUAACCAAGAAAAGCUGCGAGUGGAACUGAGAACGCCAUGAUGGAAAAUUCAUGGGCUUGAGUUUCGUUUCAGAGGUGACUGGGCAGCGGCAUUGAUCGAAAUAAGGGCGCUGCUCGAAGCGAGUCAAGUAUAUGUAUAGACAACCACGUGAGCGGCAGUUGAGUGUUAUUGGAUGCCAUGGGGGGUGCUUUUCUCUCUUGCUCGUUGGAGCGUGAUUGCUCCGUUACCAUGUUCUACAAUCAUGUGCUCCAAAUUCCGCUAUCAUAGGCCUAAUAUUCUAGUGUUGCAUCUAUCGCCUCUGGGCUUUCUUUUCUAUUUCUUUCACAAUGAAAACGUCGUGCAGAUGCUCAGGUGCCUACGGCUGGCUGGUCAAAUAACAGGGAAUCAGAUUAUACAAAAGAGAAACUCCAAUGCAAGAGACAGAAGAGAGAUAAUGGGUUUCUAUGAAUUGGCCUGUCCUACGAAUAGGCGCUGUCCAGAGUUCCACUUUCGGCUUGGAUGGAAUUGCUUAAGGAAAGGCUACUUAUUUCUUCCCUUCCUAUUUCAUUGGAGUGCCUACUCUUGCUCGAAAUUAUGAGAAAACUCCCACCUUGAAGAGAGCUAAAUGAAAACCAACAAUAGGACUGAAUGAAAGCGCCAUCACCCAAGGACGGAACCUUUCCUAUACCAGUACUUAAGCAAGAGACUCUUAUAAGUCCAAUACUGAUCAACGAAUAGAAUGAUUUUGCCGUAUCGGGGGAAGCGCUGAUUCAAAAGACUGAUCUUUCUGACUCAUUUUCUGACAUUGCCUUCUCUUUCUGACAUGAGACUUCUCUUUCUUUCAAAGGGUAACUAGCCUAAGAGUCACUUCCGAAGCGCAACGUAUGGGACGAAAUCCGGCAUUGCUAGCUCUGAAUGAAAUAGAUCCAAUCCACUAUGAAGGCAAUGGGUCUGGUCUGAGAAAAGAUAGGGCCACGCCCCUACUGCCUAUAGAAUGAUUGCCAUUAAACACACUAUAUAUAUGGAUAAAGGAUGGAAUGGAAUGAAAGAAACUCCUACUGCCUAUAGAAUGAUUGCAAUUUCCAUAUAUAUAUCCAUAUGGAUAAAGGAUAGAAUUGAUAGAAACCCCUACUGCCUAUAUUCAAUUGAUAUUCUACUUUGAUGGAUGGAAUUGAUAGAGAAAGAAAGCACCGUCAAGAUCUCGAACGGUUGAGGCGCUUUUUCUUAUCCAUAGAAAACAGAAAAGAACUUCCUUCGCGAGGAGCCUUUGAAUCGAUGCACCGAAGAAAGGAAAGAUCGAGAUGCCCUUUUAUCAACAUCACGGAAUCGUCGAGAAUGAUGAAUUGGCUAUUUGAAAAUAGGAAGAAAACCACAGCAUGUAAGGUUUCGGUCCAUCUUACCAUAUAAGGAAAAGCCCCAGAUACUUGAUCUGAUUCCCACUACUAUUUAUUAGCUUAAGUCACCAGACCUAUCAGACAGGGAUAAUCAUUCUGGUCCUGUCCUCUGGGGGAAUAACUUCUGAGACCUUAGAGCAAGUGUAAAGACCAAUCCAGCAGCAAAGCAAAAUAGCUGCCCCGUUGUCUUACCCGCCAAAAGGAAAAGCAGACAGACCCAUUCGAUGCAAUCCAUGGUAGUUGUGCCUUAGCGAGCUCUUUUGAAAGACAUUGUGCUUACAUAGGAGUUCCCGUCUUCCGCUUACGUAAGAAUUAUGUGAGUUCCCCUGUUUUCGCAGUGCUUGUUAAGUCUUAGAAAGAAUCUGAGGUGAAGUCGUUAACAGCAAUCGGUUCUGUUCCAGUUGCCCUUACUUAUAACGGUUGGUGACUCGAAUCCUAUAAUGAAAGACGGAAUAGAAUGAGAAACUGCUGAAGCAAGGUGUGGUCCAAGUCGAGUUGUGGUGCUAGGAAAGGAGACAUUGAAAACAGAAGAUACUGGAUCAGCACCAAACACUGUUUCAAGAGAAGAAAAGAAGCUGCGGUGUCAAAGUGAGCAACUGGCGGUUCCGUUCGAGUUUCACUUACAUUAGAUAGAAUUUGGUAACCAAGGAUAGGAUAGGACACUCUUUAGCCCGGAUCAGAAGCCUCAUCAUUGCCAGUGAUAGUUCUAGGUUAAGUUUCAUCCAUAAGAGCAUCUCUUUCAGUUCGCCUAGUUCGAGUGUAAUCCUUAUAGAAAUAAGAUCGAUCAUCUCUACCUACUGUACUGAUAAAGCUAAUGCUGAUGUUCAAUCAUACUCGUCUCUUUCUCUUGAAGAUAAGGAAUAGAUGAAGUUCUCUUGAGGAUAAGGAAUUGAGAAAGGUGUUGUAUAUAGAGAAAAGUCAUAUUAAUAAGAUAUUAGAGUUGGAUAUAGAGAAAAGUCAUAUUAAUAAGAUCUUAGAUGUGAUGCAAGAGAGUCGACGAGAUAAGUCAUUGGCUCUAAGUCUUUAACAGGAGAAGAGAUAGGUUCCGUUCGAGUUCAAGUUGCAAGAUCCGUUCUUGGCUACCAGGUUAUUUCUUGGCUUGCUCCCUUGCUUCCUGACAGCUUGAGCAACUAAGUAGGGUCUGUUUUCGGCUACCCAAUGAAAUAUAGUGCGCAGAUAGGAAUUUGACAAUGAAAUCUUGACUGAAGAAUGCAAUUGAGAGCAGAUAGUGCACCCAUACAUCCAUUAGAGUUGAGAGUGAAAGUCUUUGUUUGUUUUUGUUGGAUUCCUGGGUUAUUGGGUUAUUAUGAUCCCUCGCCCCAAAGGAAAGUCUUGCUUUUGGCAGUUCUAUUCUGAUUAUUGACUACUCUUUUUCUUAUGGCUCAUAUAAAAAGACAGGCUUUCAGCACCCGAAUCCUUUGUUCGUCCGCCUGUUUUCGUUCCUGUGUUUGUGUUGCGCGGCAGGAGCCCCGGGGUCGCAAAGGAAGCUUGAAUAUAGAAACUCAAGAAAGGCCCGGGAAAGAGCAUCACUACUAUAUGGAAUUAUAAGAACUGGUGCUCUAGUGAAUCAGUAUUUUCGUUCUUGGAAUCCGUUUUGUGAUUAAUCGACCGUUAGAGGUUCAAAGUAUGACUUAAAGACUCUCAAUCAAUUAGUUAUUUUCAUUAAGGGUUGAUUCAAUGACUCAAUUUCUCCUUGAUAAGGAAUUUGUGCAUCAGGUGCAACGACUUCUGGUGUAGCUUGGCUAGCCCCAGAGGCAUUUGCACAUUCAUUUUCCCACCAGAGUUUGAGGAAAGACACUGGAAUUGCCCGAUGUGCCCGCGCACUUCUUUACUUGAUUCAGAAGCACUUGAUUGAGACCACGGGUUACGUCUAGAAAGAUAUGGGAUAUGGGGAUAAAGGGCAGCCGGAGCCUUUGUUAGCGUUAACAGUACAGCUAGCUUCACUUUCAAUGGGUUUGCUUUCGUUUUUCAUCCGGGGCUGUGCCCUGAAAGAGACUACAAGAAUACGAGGUAGUGUUGAGACCGAAGAAUCCAUUCCAUAGUGACCUUGCUUGUCAAAAGGCAGAAAUACUCGCAUCUCUAUCACCGAAUCCGGAUUCUGGUUCUUUCUUUGAUAAGAAUCGAUCCUCCGUUUGCCUUGGCUGGAAGAAGAAGAUUUAGCAGGUAGUAAGGGAUGACAGCUGCCCCCAAGGUUGAAUGAAGAUCUGAUCUCCUUUCUUUCUGAGGAUCAACUAGUAGUUCCCGAUAAAGGAAAAUGACACUGAUUUCGGGUUUCUCUAUUUUCUUUCAUUUUCUUAGAAAAGGUGUGUUUGUGAGGCAGAAAAGAAAAGUAAACCUACCUAUAAAUAAGGCUUUCCAGCCCCAGCCAGUAUAACUAGAAAAGCUAUAAAAGUCCAGCUGUAUAACUAGAAAAGCUAUCGAAGUCCACAUACCAAAUAUGGAACAUGCAUUUCCGAAACUUCCAACUAUAACUAUAAUUCAAGCAUAAAGCUUAUGGCCAUGGGAUAAGUUCCUUUCGAAGGAAGACCUUUUACUUGCGAUUGAAUGAGUUGGUUUGCUAACAGGGGAGAAUUCUAGGCAAGGCAGGACUACUUUCUACUACAUUUUCAAUCAGAAGAGACGGAUUUCCAUUUUAAGGACAAGGAGACAAUUUAGUAGACCGCGGAUGUCAGCACCUUAUUGUUGGGUAGGGCCCGAGGAAAGAAGGAAAAGCUCAAGUGGUUGUCUUCCCGACACAGGGAGCGGAGAGCCUAUUCGUAGACCUUCGGAUAAGACAUAGAUAGGCGGACUUCCCUUAGUCUAUCAAGGAAGAAAAGAAGGAGUGAGUUUAGUACCAAAAGCCAGAGGUGUUACCGACACAGGGAGUGGAUAGCCUAUUUGGAGGCCGGCAGGGAAGAAAUAGCUGACUUAAGCUACUACAGCAAGGAAAGGAAAAAGCCCGAAGUGCGGCACUAACAAAAGUCCAAAGCUCAGUAAGCACUUAUACUUUCUACCCCAUACAUUAGCACUUAUACACUGUCAACAACAGUUGGGCCUGUACAAAUUCUUGUCUUGCAACUACAGUUGGGGCUGUACUCAGUAAACCUUUAAUGGAAUCCAUCUUAUAAAUACACUAAAUAUAUCAUCUGUUGCAUUAAGAAUUGGUUCUAUCUCUACUAUAGCAUUAAUCAUUUAUGCUGCAAUCUCUACCCUAGCUUGUAUACUCGAAACCUAAACCUCUGCUGCUUGUUUACUCUAAACCUCUGCUUUGUCAAGCAUCUGAACUAUCAUACAGGGCUAAGCUGUUUCUCUUUGAUGAGAGGUAAAGGGUCUCGUGCUCGUCCUCGCUGUCAGUCGGUAGGGUAGCGAGUAGGUUAUGGUCUACCAGUUGGAGGGUCCGAGUCAAGUAGGUGUCUGAGGGAAAGGCGAAGUCCAUAAAAGAACUAUAUGGGGAUGCCUAUCUCUUCUAUUACAUAGUUGGAUUGAUUCAUGUCCCUCAGUGGAGUUCCGUUAUUGAAGGCAGUGAGAGCCCAGUAGGAGAGGCGUUCCAGAGUAGUGGUCCAAGCAUUAAGGUUCAGCGGCUAUUACUCAGGGUAGUGAAGGAACUCCUAUAUGUCACUAUUGCUUAAGUCAGGGUUAAGGUCCAGAAACAUACUUGCUUGUAUAUGAAGGUACCCAUAGCUAUUGGUAUAUGUUGGUGCUAAUAUUCAAUCAAUACAAUAGUAGUAUUUUAAGUCCUCUCGUGGCUUUCCUAUGGAAGCAGGUGCCUAUCUUAUCAUAAUGGGUACAGUAGAGCUGCCAACCACGCCUUUACCGAGUCCACUGGGUCUUGCGCCGCUCCUACCCCUUCUUUCCUUGAUAAGUAUCAUCCUUCUCCCCUUUACUGAACCCAGCUUUUACACCCAACACAGAAAGAGAAGAGCACACGACAGAAAGCCAUUUCGUUCUCAUCCGUCCGCGAGCCUAGGCACGAAACACAAGUCUGUUCACCACUGCUAAAAAGAACGCUAGUGACCCGUAAUCCGACUCUAACUGGUGCUUGCCCACUACACAGACAGGAAGGAAAGAAGCAUAAUGUAGUAUAGAAUGCAGCCUAUCUAAUCUAAUGUAGUGUCAGUUCAACAAGGUAAAGGAAUGACCUAUUGUACUAAGUGUAAUAGUAUAUGGAAGCUAAGAUUUCUAAGUAUAUUAGUUCCAAUCUUACUAACGCUUUAUUCAGGACUCUCGCUUAAUUCAGUAAUGGCUUAAAGUCAAUAGUGAGGUUACUUAUUAUGUUAUAAGAUCAUAUCUCUCUCAGAUUUCUAAGUCUUACAUACAAGUAUCAUAGUAUCAUAGUAUAAAUUAGGUGCCAACUUCACUAUAUAAUAUUCCAGGGUGGAGUCCUGAGUUGCUUGUUCAGUUCAGUCUAAAGGAACAGUAUCAAAGGAGAAAUACCAUCUAGUAGCUCUGCCAGCAUGGGGGUAGUUCAGUCUAAAGUAAGGGUAGCAAGUGUCAUUGUCGCGAUAGGUUAUUGGCCAAAGGCAGGAAAGGAAGCAGUUAGAGCAGAGACAGCAGUAAUGGAUGAGCUUUGGAGUUUCGGGGAACAAGUUAGAGCAGAUCCAGUAGUCAAUAGAUGAGCUUUGGAGUUUCGCAGUUAGAGCUGAGUUAAGGGAGUAAACAGUCAGGUUAAUCAAUUACGGAAGUAGUAUGCACUCAACAAGCUAUGUUACCAAGUACUAGCUACGUUCUUUUAGUUGCGCAAACAGGUGAGCUUUGGAGGAAAGUAAGCUCGAGAAUCAUCUGUGUCAGCAGCAAGCGGGAAAUCAAGUGUAGAGUAUGGUUGACGGUUGCCCGUAAAGUAGACAUCGACAACAGAAUCCGCUGUUACAAUAAAAUCAGCAGCAGUGAGAGUUUCUAAAUUGACAGUGCCAGCAACCAACAGCAAAUAUAUUACUUGCUACCACUUGUGGCUUUGCUUGUUCCGGUGAUUUCAUCAUUUUCCCCUAGCAGUGGAUUCCCCCACUUUUCGCAAGAGUCCCGAGUGUGCGCAAGCCCUUAAUGCGAGUUCCAGUUCCGUUUGAGUGUCAUCAUAUAUAGAAGCGUAGGUCAAGUCAAGUAUAUAUAUAAGCUAAGCUGUCUUCGGAUUCUUAAGCAAGCAGUACAGUCAUUGUAUCAAGAAGCCCACGUAGCGGUUAAGCAGUUCAGUCAAGAAGUCGAAGGGCCGCCCAACGUCUGACUUAGUUGCUUGGCCCCUUAUGCUUACUACCAUUCCGAGUCUAUUUACUAUAUGUGCUUAGUCUAUUCCUUUAUUGGAUACACUAUGCUAUACCUCUCUUAUAAUGAGGAGCCGGGACAUGGGAUACUAACAACAGUAGAAGACCUCACACUCAAACACAAACAUAUGAAUUGAAGGCGGUAAACUAACCAAGUUAGAGCUAGGAGAGGAAGAGUCAAAGGUAGAAUACAAGCAACAGAGGGGUGAUUGAAGAAUUCGCUAUAGUAGUUUCAGAGUGUGAAUUGGUAGGUUCAAUCUAAUGGGGCAGUGUCCAAUUCUUUAAGAUACCCGUGAGUAUGUAAGUGGAGAGUCUAAGCCGGUUAUAUGGGUUGUGGGUAGGCCCCUUCCCUUCCUUUUGUGCAGUCUCUGAUCUCUAGGGCUACUCUUUAUUAGAUUGCUUCAGCUGAAGAACCCAGACUGGCAUGAUUGGAUUGAAGCGGUUUACUGACAAGACGUUCACGGAAAAACAGACAGACGAUACAUUCCUUUGUAUUGAGAGUGAAGAUGUACAGAGUAAGCGCGCUAAUCGUUUUUCACGACAGGAGCGCUGAAAGGUGUUGAAAGAAAAGAGCCUUUACUUGAAUAUAGGUGAAUAGAAUAUAGGAAUGAUUCGGAUAGAAUAUGGGAAUGAUUCAGAAGAUAGUUCAUUAUUGAGAGAAAAGAAUGGCUUUUGAGUAAAGCAUAGGAUGCAUAGAAUAUCUGUCUGAGUUCAAACACAAGGCUAUGUGAAAGAUCCGGUCUGAAAACGGAAAACACUAACCCAUUCAAGGCAUUGGAGAUAAGUACGCAUGGUGGCCAAACCUGUGAAAUCGGGACAGGCAAGUCAGUGUACCGAAUAGACUGCCUUCCUAAAUAGAGAGUUUCAUUCAUACUCUCCGUAAAUGAGCUAUCUGUCCUUCCAUUCUUUGGAAGGUGCAUUUAAUCUCCUGUCGUAAGCGCUAAGAAAGAGGCAGGAGAUCAAUGAAAUAUGAGUCAUCUUGUAUAUAUCAUAUCAUACCAACCCUAGGCAAAAAGAGACUCGGUUCACUAUUCGCCAUCGCAUAAAAAGCAGCUCUUUCCUUCUAUAUAAGCGGAGUUCAAAAGUUUCAAUAAGUAUAAAGUUAAGAGAAACUAGCAUAGCAUCUUUCGUGAAGAUCCACUACCAUCUUUCCUUUUAUUUCCUCCGCACCAUCUCUAAGUUCACAUUUCUUUUGACUCCCAUUAGAGACAAAUACAAAACAAACACAAAAGGGUAUAUUCUUUAAAUGGCUUUUUUUGCCCAGAUAGAAUAGGCGUGUUCAUACAGUUGUAUAUUCAACCAAAGAAUAAUAAGCUAUCACUGAAGAAUUGGACUUACUAAGUGUCGACUUACUCGAGUUUCUUAUGAACUGGGCUUGGAGCCGCUGCUAGAUAUGCGCUUAAAACCCCAAUACAUAAUGGGUCUUUUCUACUUUACUACAGGGGAAGAGCUGGAAAGAGGGACAGUAGCUUGGGACAGGUGAAACAAGAAAGCCAUCCGUUAUGUUCCCGUGGUUGAGUCACUCACGAAUGUUUCGUCCCAAUCCAUAUUGCUUUGGUGGGGAACGAGUAGUCCACAUCUCUGAUGAUCCACAUAGUCUGCUUGCUUUUUAUGUCCUUCAAGAUUGUCGGUGGGUGCAGAAUAUGGCUCUUUCCAAAUAGAUGAGGGACGGCGUUUUUGAUACCUAAGUCAGAGGAAGCUAUCAGACGCAUUGGCUGGCUUAAGAAGAUCAGAUCUAUCACGAAUAGGUUUCACAGCAGCUGCAGUCACAACAGAGGAGCUCGUUAUGAAGUAAAGUACCUGCAUUCCACAUUGGAAAUGAUACAUAGAAGUGGAAUUGCGGUCGUAACAUUCUAAUGCCUUAAUUGGGAAUACGGGAGAUCCUUGGUUAAGAUCUGGCUCGGAUGCUACAGGUAGCUAAGCUAAGCAUUUGGAUCUGCUACUCGGAUUGCAAAUGGUUCCAAAUACUGGCUGAAACGGAAUACAAAAACCAAUUGGUGGAACUACAAAUGAUGAGUAAACUCGGUAAAGUACUGCUUGCUACUUUUAUUAGGCGCUGAGCUAUGCAUGGACGCCUAUCGAGCUUCGUUUGACCUGACCCGACCCUACUCAUAUCCGAAUAUAUUACUAAUAUCCUAAUAUAUAAUAAAUAUGAAUUUGAUAAUAUAUCUUUGCCUUUAUGAAAUGGAUAAUGUAUCUUAGCCUUUGUUUGUAUAGUAUACGGGUGAAUGGUUUUAUGGAGAUACUCAGGGUCAAACCUUUAUUAAAGAAAUACUAUUUCACAUCUUUCGUGAGAGAGGGAUCGGAUCUAAGAAUCACAGUCAAUGCACUCUAUCAAAACGGAUCCUUUUUCUCCUAACAUCAACUUUACCGCCUCUUCGAAACUACAGGGAUGCUGGCUAGGACUGGUUCAAUUGGUGCUCUGGCUGGGUCAACUACUGAGCUGAAUCAACAACUUACAGUAGCUUAGAUGCAGCUGUAUCCGCAUUUCCACUUACUGGGUCGGAUAUGAUUCAAAUGCUUAAGCCUCUUACGCUGAUCCACUGGAUGCUGCUUCAACGCCCUUUGCCACUUUCGAAGAACUACCGUUCGGACUUGUUUCUUGCUAUGACGGCAGGUACGGAAUCCUUAUUCUAGGCUCAAGCGGAAGAUAUAUCAGAACCGGGUAAAGAAGAUCUAAUUGAUUCAUAAGAAUGAGCGGAUUAAGCAGUUACAAUGGAAUAAGCAAGUGCCCGUAUCUGAUCCUGCUUGAACUUCAUCUUUCUUUCGCCUCGCGGUCAACUAAUCAUUAAUUCCAUCUUUCGAGCUUAAGGAAAACAGUAAAGUCAACUAAUUCCAAUAAUUCAUUGAACUCGCCUAUAUCAAAGGAAUGCAAUCUAAAGGGCUUUGAAGCCGGAGUUUGCUUGCAGCUAACCUAACUGCUUCCAUCUUUUCUUUAUCUUCGAGCCUAUCUUUUGAGACUAUACUAUAAGCAAAGCAGGGUACCCGAGAAAGUGUUUGGAUUCCAGUUCAUGCACUGGAGCCUUUCUUUACCAACUAUUAGAAAGAAUCCCCUCCUCAGUAGCUAAGUGGUAUACGGUGGUAUAGCAGUUAUCAUAUUGAGUGUUCCAUAUGGGUUCGUCUACUUGACUUUGGUGGUGCUAUGCUAUAUUCUAUUUAGCUUCGUAUAGGUCUAGCUCAGUAGUGAAGACCACGUAUUACUCUUUUUUAGAAAACGCAACUUACCUAUAAUGAGAAUGGGUGAAGUUCAUAUUGACUUGGAUAUUCACUGUUGGUACUCGUACUAUCACCUCUGUAUCUGCUGGAUAUAGAUAUGGCUCUAAGUAACUGUCACUUAGUCAACAGGUUCUUCGUUCAAAAACCGGAUAAAAGACUCGCUCAGUUAAUGCUAUUGGUCAAAAUGUAACUACCACGGGUUCUUUGACUGGAUCAAGGUAUGUAUAUGCUUAUGGCUCUGCUCUUGCAACCCUAGCUUAUGGUGCUGGUCCUACAACAGGGUAUUAUGCAACUGAUGCUUUUUAUGUAUUAGCUACUUAUGCUCCUCUAGUGGUGUUGAUACUCGGUAGAGACAAAUCCAACCCGAAGAGCACCACGCUUGUUCACGAACGAAGUGGUAGUCAAUUUCUAUAUGUUUGGUACGGGCAUUCAAUAUUGGAUGGACGGCUUCUCAUGCAUACAGUUUUUUCCCGACGCCCUACUAUAGGGUAUUACGGGCGCACCGAUACGUCCGGCUCAUCCACAGCUCUAUCUUCCGAGCCCCCCUAUGUUGUAAGUGAUUGGGUUAGGGGGUGAAUACAAGCUAGCAGGCAAUAAAGCUAGUGAAUCAGAAUUCUAGUCAAGAUUGACUUGUCGUGGUUUACAGUGGCUCGCUUGGUGAUGGAGGCCCCGGCAUUCUUUAGACCAAACUGAAUCACCUUGUUACCCCUUUCUUAUAUAGUGCGCCGUUUUCUCUCUGUCUCGAAGGUAGGUUAAGUCAAGUGUCAAGUCAGGGCUUAGGUUCCAAAUGGGGGCUGGGCUGGAGCAGCAACUCUCGCAUCAGCUGUAGCGGCGCAUUGUAAAGGUGCUUAGUUCGUCGAGCAAUUUCAGGCUAUCUGAGCGGGCAGAGGGAAAGCAAGAUGAUCGACCGGCUACAGGAAUUGCAGAGGCUCUCGAACUUUAUGUGCUCACUACUCGUUGCAUAUCCUGCUCCUCUUAUAAUAGCAGUAGCUCUCCUUUAGUAGCUAGUGGCUCUUCAUAAGGUGGAGCUCAGUGGAAUAUGCCGCCAACAGCAGCAUCGGUCGAUAGGCAGGCGAUAGUUGCUUCGGUCAUCUUCCCUGUGUCAGUCUAGUCCUUUGUGCCAUAAGAGUGCCUGCAAGGUCAUUCUAUGAGGGCUGCCUUACUAGCGUUCCUUCCUAUAAGGCUAGACAGACGAUUCCACAUGUUCGUCCGUUACUAACCGGCAUUUCUUCCAGAAUUAAGAGAGAGUAGAGCUAUUGAAACAGAAAGCCUAUGAGGCUCGGUACGCUAUACACAUCCUGUUGCCAGCAUCAAAGACCCUUCUUUCCUUGUGCUCCGGCCAAGUCUUCCCGCUCGCCCAGAGAAUUCUUCCUUUUAGAUACUCACUAACGCCCUCCUUAAGGGUCUUGCUCUUGAUCCUAUAACUCUUCAAUCCUAUGAUUGGGGUCUUUGUCUUUGGGCUCUAUCUUCUUUCUUAUUGAAUCUAUAGAACUAGCUCGAGCAAGCUUAAGAAAAAAGGGGGAAUUUCUGGUACUAAAGGAGAAGGGUUCGUGCCUUUCCCCGAUGAAAAAAGAAGGAAUCUCAUCUUUGUUCUAUGUUUGGGAGUAAGCCAGUCAAUGUGCCCGCUGUUGUGUAUGAGCAAGCGAUCUGAUCCUAUGCGCCUUUCUCCUUUUAGUGAAACCAACCGUCCCUUAGCUCGUGUUAUCAGAGUCACUUCAUCCAGUUUUCAAUAAGGAUGAGAGGGCUUUGAAUGAGAGAAAUCAUAGUUCGGGUGUGGUGAAGUCUUGGAUUGGAAGUCAACUAGCUCGACUGGAAGUAAACUAGCUCGACCAGUUGCUUAUAAAGAUUUUCCAGAAGAAGGAAGAAUUGCUGAGAAGGCUAAUCAUAUAGUGCAUUGGUGGAAAUAUGUACUCUCCCCACGAAGGGUUGGAUCCUUCCGCUGUAUAAUCUCGCUUGACUACUGGUAUGUAUGUCCGAAGUCCCCUUCUAAGCUAAGCCAAGCUCUCUGUUCUCUUCCAUUUGCAAGCUCUUUGAUAUCCGGUAGUUUCCCUUUGAAAAAAACACCUAGACUCCACUUCGGUAUCAUUUUGGAUUGAGUUAGCUAGGGCUCCUUUGAUCGUGCAUCUUCCUUACUGCCUUAACAUACAGCCUUCUUAGGAUUCUACAUGACAUGAUGUAAAAGACUAAACCUCCCCUCCUUCUUAAAGACUGUCCUACCCGAGGCUAGCGAACCCACCACCCAAACUCAUUAGCAUUCCUGCCUACCGCUAUACGUGGGCGCUGGAAGCUAUUGAAAUCGGACAAUUCGGAUUGUUACUGAGACGCGUAACACAGGCUAAUCGAUGAAAUGAUAGAGUGAUAAAGGGGCUAAGGCUCACUACGAAAUUGAUUGAAAUGGUGGAGAGAAUCGGGAUGAAAGGUAUGGAUCAGAUCGAGCCCGAGAUGCGGAUCAUGAGCAGAGCAAACCAAGAUAUUCAAUGGAUAUGCAAUGAGGGAGCGCUAGCCCCAAGGGUCAGAGAAAGUAUAGCUACCCGAGCUGUCAUGAGUUCAGUUCAUAAACUCAAAGGAGUUGAUCUUAGCCCUUAAGAGGGGGCCGAGGCUGGUAAUAAAGGUAUGAAAGCCAAACCACUUUCCAUUAAGGGAAAACGGAGGCAGCUUCUUCGUGCUAUGCUAUAAGUGGGCGCCCCUAGACCAUAGAAAGAAUAGAGCCAACGGUGCAGCUUCGGACUAGGUAGGGUGUCGAACCUCAUGUUUUCGAUCUCAGCCCCAGCCCCACUUCUGUUAUGCCAACUACCAGUAUUAGAUAGUGCCCCCAAAAAGGAAGCUUUAGUUCCACUUCUAUUGAUGCAAUAUACCCUUCCAGCGAGUUUUCCUAUCCCCGAGUCUAAGGGGUAGCUUUAUAUACUAGAAUACUGGUGCCCUUAAGUAAUUGCAUCCGAACAUUUUCUACAUCAACCAGGGACGAAUGGGGGUCGCUUCCUCUCUGCUAUGCUAGGAAUAGGAAUACUUGAAUGAAAAGAAUUAGAAACCCUUGCCUUACUUCCGAAUCCAUGCGGCUUUUCUUAGGUCCGUUUUUGUUACCCUUUUACUUAGAGUUAGAGUUAAUGUCUCUAUCGAAGUUCUAAGAUUACCACUUUCUGCAUUUUAUUCCCGGCCUGGAUAAAGUAAAGACUUUGGGCACGUCCCUCUAUAUUCGUUUUCUGGGAAUGCCUCUACCCACUUGAACUCUCUGGGUGCAUCGAGACAAAGUAUCAAGUGUCUUUGUGAUUCAAUUCUAUAAGUGAGUAAGCAUAGCAUCCUCCAGUUCUCUCGUCUUUCUCUUUCUUCUUUGAAAAUGAUGUUAGGUUCCGAUCCGUAGGUUUUAGUGAAAGGGAUGCUCUAUCUGCUUUCCCUUCUUUCUUCUAAUUAUUUCUACGAGUCUAAAGGGAGUUAUAUUCUUUUCUCGGGGCUUGUUUAUUUGAAUAUAAGUCACUUUGAAGAUCUAAUUAGAAUUAUGCAUUCGAGGUGCUAAGUAAAGAAUCAGAAUUUCUAUCGUAUGGGAAAGUCAAAAGUCCGGCCGAUAAAAAGAAGUCGAAAUAUAACGCCAAUCCCCGCGGUGAUCUUCGCUUAAGAAAAACUCACGAGCUGGGCUUUUCCACGGACAAAGAAUGGAGUCCAACAGCUCUUUGUAAGGCGGAAGAAACAUAUAAUAUAUAAGAAGCGCUGUCUCCGAUGGCAUCAGCAUGCGUCUAGUACAUAUUUCUUUCUCUUGUCUUCGUAAGUCAAGGGUGUUUAGUUUCUUUUCGUUUUCAGUCCUCUUACUCGUUUGAUGUGUCUUCAUGUAUGGGUUGAAAGUUGGCAAAACACUUGUGGACCUCACGUUUAAGUCAGUCUAGUUACAUGAAUGUAAACUACUGUACUGCCCCCAUCUGAGAUAAUGAAUUCAGAUAUAAUUGAGGUCCAGCUCCUAUUUUGGCAAACUAAAGGGUUUGUGUUGAUCCUCAAUCUCGUCCCCUUCUGGUCUCUCUCUAGACAUGUGUUCUUUCGUCGAAAGCAUUAUGUUUCUUUUAGCCUUCAUCUUCCUCUGCCGUUGCUUAUGUAGGGUCCCGACCUCCUUCUUCUAUUCGACUUGUGCCCUUCCGGAGACUUCAUCUUUGCCAUCUGCUGAUGACUCUCACCCUCGUCGACGUGUCUUGUGUCCAUCCCUAUUACUUAUGUUGUACACUCUCGCUGGGCUAUCGGUUACAUUACUUGAGAUUGAUAGGUAUUAACAGCACUUUAGAGGGUAUUGAUAGGCAUUCACAUGACUUUCUAGGGUAUUGAUAGGCAUUCAGAGCAGCUUGCAGCCUCGCCAGAUCUUACAUCUCUGGUUGUCGAUCCUACACCACAGGUUCGUAGGUCUUAUCGCAUUUUCACGAAGCCUAUUUGUUUCGUUGAAUCUCACUUGUUCACUCCUCGUUAUCAUGCCUUUUUAGCUGCUCUUCACUCUUUCCAUGAGCCUCAGUAAACUAGGGAGGCAGGCAGCCGAGCCGCUAUUCAAUGUUGGCAACAGGCAAUCAAUAUCUUAAGAACGGACUGCCCUUCAGCAGAAUGCCAUUUUGGAUCUUUUUCUUCUUCCGUCUGGUAAGGUUGCUAUUGGUUUCCGUUUCCGUCUGGUAAGGUUGCUAUUGGUUUCCGUUAGGUUUCUAAAGUGAAGACGUGAUCUGAUGGGUCUGUUGAGAGAGACAAAGCUAGGCUGGUAGCCAGAGCGGAACCCGCAUAGACAUUAAGGAGACUUUUGCGCCUGUGGCUAAGAUGACUAGUAGUUUGACCAUUAUUGCCAUUGCAGCGGUUGGCCACUCUAUAAGUUAUACGUUCCUUAUAUGCCUUAUACCAUGGUUAUCUUCAUCUGGAGGUGUACAUGCUGCCUAGCCUACCCCUUGAAAAGAUUCCGCUCCUUCUACUAAUGUAUGCCCCUUAAGCAAAGCCUUCUAUGGUAGCCUAUUGCGUUGGUUUUUCAAGUUUAGCACAGUGCCAUUGCUCGGGGAGUUUUCAUGAUUCGGCCAUGUUCUUUUCUUUUUCUCCUCGAAAACGUGCUAUUCUGUUGUUCUAUGUUCAGGAUAUUCAACUUACUGGUAAUUACUCCGUUAACAUAUCACUGAUCAUGUGUCGCCUUCAUCAAUGAACCUCUUCAUCGCCCUUUAUCUAUACUUCACUCUAAAAAGAACCUGCUCCAUAGAAUGGAAUUGAAAUGAAAAAGGUAGUAAGCGGCUCUGCCGCGCAACUUGUCUAGUUGCUUGGCGAUUAUGAAUCGCUUAUUACUUGUUUGUUUACUUGUUUCAUUGAGUGCAAAAGAAAAAGCACAUUACUGGAAAUAGAGUAUUGUUGAAUAUGACGUUAACCCAUAAUGUAAUAAAGUAACUCACUACCUAUGACUCUCGGGGAUUCACUCACUACCUAUGACUCUCGGGGAGAAACGAAACACUCUGUUACUCCUGACUUGAAGAAUUAAGCUAGGCACCCGGAAACAACAACUAAAUCCAAGAAUGGAAUAGAGCCAUACUCGCACUGCUAAUCCCUUGAAAUAGAGUAAUAACACCUUGAGACUUGAAAGCUGGGGCACUGCUAACCCCUUGAAUAGCGUAAUAACACCUUUACCUUGAGACUUGAAAGCUGGCACUGCUNNNNNNNNNNNNNNNNNNNNNNNNNNNNNNNNNNNNNNNNNNNNNNNNNNNNNNNNNNNNNNNNNNNNNNNNNNNNNNNNNNNNNNNNNNNNNNNNNNNNNNNNNNNNNNNNNNNNNNNNNNNNGUUGUUUGCUUGUUCCGUAGGCACCGGCUUGUUAUCGAAACUCACUUCUGGCUUUACCCAACGAAACUGCUUGUUGAAACAGAACUGCUUACUGCUAUUACCCCACCUAGCGGCGAUAGGAUUGAGCUCUUGGUAUAUAUGCAUUUAAUAAAUAAAGAGUUUCAAGAUUGAUAUUCAUAAUAAGGAGUGAUAGGAUUGAGCUCUUGGUAUAUAUGCACUUCUAAAGAAUAAAGAGUGAUAGGGAUGCUAUAUCAAAGAGUAAUGAAUUUAGGGAUGCUAUAUCAAAGAGUAAUGAAUUCAAUAAGCCCGCGGUUUAGUAAUAAGCUAACGCACCCAAACAAAUAAGCUUGUAACGUCUUGCAUAACUCACUAACGCUUACUGCUCUUCGGGCUCUAAAUAGACUAUUUCCGUUUAGAUUUCUUAUGAUAUCCCUAGCAGCUUUGCUUCCUUGUUUAACAAAGGCUUGUUCCGGCCCGGCGAACUGAACUCGUUUGUUGAUUAUGAAUUGAGUGUACCUAGGAAAUACGCACAGUAACACACAUUCGAAACUCCUAAACGGAAUGAUUGCCCUAGUAUACCAUAGUACUUAUCUUAGCACCGUUGCUUGUUGAAUGGAGUGCACCUACUCAGAGGUCUAUGUUAUGUUCUAAUUUCGUUUUACCUAGGAAGAGGUCUAUGUUAUGUUAUGUUAUUAGGCUUCAAUGCUUGUGGGGUCCGGGUCAAAGUGGGUGUUUUUAUGGAAAGGUUUUUCACAGGCUAUAAACAACGCAAAAAGAGCUUAUUUAUACAGCCUUAACCAAUACCGAGUUUCUUGUUGAAGAUAGUGCACACAACUUAUGUAAGACAGCAACCUCACUGCUUACUCCUGGCGUUGUUACCUUACAUUAAUCAAAUCAUCGUUUACAGCCGAACCCUAUACUAAGCACUUGCAGGCCCUAUACACAGAAGCACCGUUACUCUACUUAACUACUAAACAAACAGGCUCUUAGCACCUUGCUUUCAAUCUACCUUCAAGCUUGUUCCCGCAGCUUACUCACUUGCUUGUGUAAUUUAUUAACAAAACAAAACACUGGCCAAGAAACUAGAUGAGAGAGAAUCCAUUCUUUUAGGAGAGUCUGGAGCGAGUGGUUCAAUUCCUUAUUCUUGUUCAAUGUCUUUACGAUGAGAUUCCAAAAUGUCUGUGUUUGUUGGCGGUGAAGAAAGUCUUUAUUGUGUUCAGGGACAGAAGAAAGUACUAGUGCGCGAGCUAUGUUAGGUGACUUUCCAACUUGAACAGAACUACUUGCGGAGGCAGACGUUGGGAUUGGCGCUAGGAAAAAGAAUGGAAAGGAUGCUUUCGUGCUAGAAGGAGAGGAUAGGAAAGGAAAGGAAGGGCGCUAAGAAAGUCAGUACUCUUGUAGAUGCCGAUCAAUCUUAUUAUGCCAUGCCGGAAAGAGAGAAAGAAGCUUUGGGUUGGGGCGCGCUGGGCAAGCAAUACCUUUCUAUGGGUUAGGUGCGCGAGCAGUGUUUUCUUUUUCUGACUUUCCUUCCACCCCCCACCAAAACGGAAGUCUACAGUCUCGUAUCUCGCUGUUCCCCUACUAUAGGGCUCGAAGUCAAGUUCAAGUCUUCGGGAACGAGUAAGAGUGGUUUAAGUUCCAGUCUUAUAGUUAACAGUAGUUGCUCGUCUUUUGGUCCUGUGUUCAGCUACCUAAUUUAUAAUCUAUCGCGGUCAACUCCGUAAGCAGUGAAGUCUUUUCAUUUACUUUAGCUUGUUAACUUGUUCUCGCCUUAGUUAGUCUUCAGACGCCUUGUAAACCAGUCAAAUCCUACAUGGAACUUCAAGCUCCCUAAUAAGCGCCUUGUAAACUAGGUGUAAUAAAUCAAUAAUGGAAUGUUUACACCAUAGAAUCUCUUUUCUCUACUGGCCACGUAGCAGUAAUCAGAAUCAAAGGCUCAAAAAGAUGCAGUAUCCAGAGAAUCCGCAGUGCAAUGAGAGUAGAGUGAGGAAGGUUAACAAACAAGCUUAUGCGCUAACAGGAAUGUCACGGGAGUUUCAAUUGUCAUCUUAUAUGCUUGACGGAACCAGCAUUUGUCCUGCCUGAAGUACAUACAAGUUCCGUUCGCCCAGUUCGUUCGACUCUCAGGUCUAUGUUUAGGGAGUUAGUACGUUGCUUUUUGAGUGUAGUUACUGAAUCUCAUUCUUAUUGAAUAACUCCAUUUGGAAAGAAGAUUAUGACAGUACUGUACACAUUAUGUAUCAAAGUAACAACACUCCGAAAUGAAAGAUUCCACACAAGGGAUUCAACAGCAACUGUUCCUGCUCCCACUCCAGAGAAAGCUUCCGCGCUAAGAUCUCCUGGUCGACUCGGUGCUAACAGAGUUUCUGCUUAGGGAGCUCAAUCCCCUUUUGUUGAAUUCAAUGAUGACUUUCGAGGUUAGGAGUAUAUAGAAGAAACAGUCUCUGGGGUGAGUCACAAAUCUCUUACUCAGUUUCCAGAUCAGAAUAAGGAUCAUCUGGGCAGCAAUCUUUUCUUCAAGUCUAGUUUGAGCAAAGGUCUGUGAUGGAGGUGAGAGUGCUUGUGUCUAAGGCGGUUCUUGACCUUGCUUGUAUAUGAGAAUGUCCCGUUCCAGUUUCAUCUAUAAGAGGAUUUCCUCUGUUCCGUUAGCGCAACAUUAUACCAUUAUACUACUAAGUAAGCUUGUUCGGUAAGAAAGCGUAGAGAGAAGCUCGUUGAGCGUAGAAAUCGGUAAUCAUAGAAAAGAGAGGUUAAGCUGUGAAAAAGUAAGCUUAUGAAUUGCUAGUUCCAGUUCUUGUUUCAGAAUCAGAAUAAGUUCGAUAAGAUGCUACAUCAGGGAGAGGGUUAAUAAUAAGUACUGGCGAGGAAGAAGUUGAAACAGAAUCCACAGUGCUAAAGUAGAGUGAAAGGUAAACAAGCUAUGUAUUUACAAACACGCUGAUCAUUGGCUUUUCAUCGUACGUAUUAAGAAGCUGAGCUGGUCAUUAUUGAAUCAGAGGCUUAGCUCCCGAUGAUGAAGAUAGGUAAUAGCAAAUAGAGACUUUUGUUCGGAUGGAAGGAGACUCGUAUCUACUCGGUGUAGUCAACUAAUUCCAUUAGAUUCUUCUGUCCAUCCUUUUGUAGGGGAAGAACCCUUUUCGCCUAGGGGACUCCUUUUUGGCCUAUGAUAAACCAUUUCAUCUUGUAUAACUAUUGAUAGCUUGUAUAACUGCAUGCGGAAGGUAAGGCUAAGCACGCAAAGCAAAGGGAAGGGAAAGCCUAGCCAACUGAAUCAUGCACCUACUUACACUUGAUGUUCAGCUGACCCCUUAACUUAACUGACGCGGAUACGAAAACAGUACUUAUUCUGUGUCCUUAGCUGGCGAAAUUAGCACUCCCUUAUGGGAUUACUUUACUACUUUACGAGCUUCUAUAUACCCUGUCCCCUUCUCUUUAGCACUUGUUCUUGUUGGGCCUUGUCAAACAAUCAUUUAUUACUGCAUGAAUAUAAGAGAGGCAUUGAAAAGACGACUCCCUUCCCGUGAGCUCACUGAUGCACCCUCUCCUUACGCACUUCGAGCAGUGAGAUGACUUUACUUCAGCAGUAUAGCAUUCAAUUCUUCUUCCAGUAUAGAGUCUGAAGCGUAAGCCGGAGAAGAAUCCUUUCUGGUUUCCUAUGUGUCAGCAGCAAUAGAUUCUCAAAGGAGAGUUCUUGUUUCACUGACUUAAUAUAGAAUAAGUGGGUAUCCAAAGGGAUAGAUAGCUUUAAGAUCCAGAAGUGGGUAUCAAAAGAGAUAGGUAGCUUUAAGAUCCAAGUCGUCAACAUCUUGUCCCGCCUUGUACUGAGUUAGAGUUCCUUUUCUUUACGCGUAAGCCAUUAGCAUAGUCACACCUCUGCUCAACUUAGAGAAAUCCCUUAUCUCUAACGCGUUACCAGACACAAGACAGGUCAUAACUACUUCUAAAGAAAAGACUGGUCAUAACUACUUCUAAAGAAAAUCAAUAUUACUCCCGUGACUCGUUGGGUUUAGAGCCUGAACCUGGAUUAUUGCCUUCUUCAGCGCACAGUAUCGGUAUCUCCUAGCUUUCUUUUGGAGAGUAUUGUUUGUCUCCUUGGGUGGGAGGUGAAGUAUCUAAUUACCUGGAACCGGAAGGUGAGGAGAAGAAGAUAGUACUGCUGGCAAGGAAUGGUUCCGAUGUAGCUCAGACAAAGUCAAAGUAGUAGAGUAGAGUUCUAUAAGAGAGGUCCACAAGAUCAUCUACAGGAUCAUCAAAGUCUCUCGGUGUUGUGGGGGAGUCUAGAACAACUUAUGAUAGUCAUAAUAUUCCUCAACAUCAGUCCAUACACCUUUCCUAACAAUAUUGCCCGGCGCGCAGGGGAACAAUAAAAUAAGUUGUUCUUUUCUUUGAAGCUGUAGUUUGUUGGGCCAGUGCUCUGUAAACUAUAAUAAUAAGCUAGUCAAAAACUCAUCAAUAUAAGUUAGUUAAUUAGGAACCGAACCUCACCGCGGACUUUUCGCUUUAAGAAAGCCCCACUUCGUGUUAGGAGUUCGCAGUUCCGUUGCUUAGUCUUUUGCCAAUACAAAAUGCAAUUGAUAAUCAUCUGCACCUCUAACUAAUAUAUUAUAGAAUGGAGUCAAAACACUCCUGUCCUUAAAGCUGACUCCCCCAAAGCUGACAUUAGCUGUUGCUUAGUCUUACUAGUUACUAGCUCUUGCUCUGUUGCUUGUUUCACCUUUUUUAGGGAAUACCAUAUAUACCCACCCGGUGGUAAAUAAUGGAUUGUGAAUGGCUCACGGUAAAUGCAUGAUUUUGAAAGGCGAAAAGAAGUAAGAAAUCCAGAAUAGGAGUAGAGACUAUCCUUUAUUACAUAAGGGGGGAGCUUCUCGACGGAAAAGGGCCAAAGCGAAUAGGAUUGAACCCCUAAGGAUAGAAAGUCAUAUCGGAAUGCUUAAAGCGAUAGAGUCGUGAACUGAGUUACUAGUGGGCUGGGCAAGAGAAGCAAUAUCGGAAUGCUUAAAGCGAUAGAGUCGUGAACUGAGUUACUAGUGGGCAAGAGGCUUGCUCAUUUCUCCUUUGUUUUGGGUUUGCCUAUCUAGCUUCUUGUCCUACGCACUAUGAUUUUCAAAAGAAGGGCUAAACGGGGCGGAGAGAGAAAGCCCUCAAAAACGAUCUUUCAUAUUCCCCCAGAGAUCCUAGUAGAAAUACAAUCCUAUAAAGAAGUGGGUUUGUUUCAGGCUUAGAAAGCGGAAGCCUAUUGUGGGGUCUAUGGCGGUCUACUACUUAGUCUAGUCUAAGUUUCCCAUUCUUUUCUAUUAAAUGACAUUCGAUAUUGCCCACGUGAAAGCUAGGAACUAGAACCACCUCCAACGUUAGUGUUCUACCAUACCGCAUAAAGGUGAACAAUUUGUCUAUCAAAAGAAAGUGACGAUUAUCUGCAUGUCUAAUGUAAUAAAGAGUGUUAUUGGUCAUUUUAUCCCAGUGUAAUAGAAUUCGAAAAAGGCAUUUAUUACUUGUGUUGAGUGAUAUGGUGACACUGUCCUCUCCUUGCGUGGAUUCCAUUCCUUGAGAUCUAAUCCAGCUAUUCGAUAUAAAAAUGGGAAUCUUCCUUUGGAUAUACAAAAGGGAAUCUUCUGAUAAGUGAGUAUAAGUGAUCGAGAAGCAUUGGUGAAAUGAAUCAAUCGACUCUCCCUACUUAGAUACAUGUAAGAUCGAAAGGGCAGCUCAUGAAUAGAAGGAAGAUCACAUAGAAUGCUAGUGUUGAGGAAGAGACGGAUGUUAGCUCUCCUGGUAUUACUUAACUAAAGCACUAACACCAAUAACAGAAGCACUAACAAAGGUAAAGUUCUCUUCUUUCUGGUGCUUUCUUAGACUCAAAACCAUCGACCCUAAAGUCUCGUUAUCGUUGUAAGUGAAGGGAGUUCUCUUAGCAAGCUAGUGAUUUUCCCCUUCCUUCGUUAGGGCUUACACUCUUCUCUUUUUCAGCUUACAACGAUUGGUUAAUUAGGAUAGGGGUGGAAAUCAUUGAAGUCGAGUCGAAUAGUAGGGCGCCAAGCAGACUAGUAGGCAAGUAGACAAGCAGACAAGACACUCAAAGACAACUUCCAAAAUCCACUCAAUAUAACGACCAAGCAUCCACUUAGAAUCUUUAUCCUAUAGAAAUAGAAGAUCAAGAAUGAGACAAGCAACGACAAGUACUGUGUUCGGGAGAAGAAUUCUGGUAUCAAAUGUAAGAGUCAGAAGAACACCGGAAGGUAUCAAACGUUUGAAUCACACCGGAAGGUAUCAAACUUAAGAGUCAGAAGAACACCUGAACUACUAUAUCUGCUGAGCAUCAAACCUUAACUACUAUCUCUCCAGAACAGGAGCAGGAGCAGUACUACCGGUAGCAAGAGGUGUUAUCGACCCCAACUAACUAUCCUUUUUGAACCCCUCGUUGCUUGGCCCGCACUCCCACAAUAACUCCACUCUUUGGAUCACAUAAAGGUUCAGGCUUCCAAAAAUCACCCUUAUUUCGAAUACUUAGCGGGCUGUAAACUAUUCUUUUUAGUCGUUGAGCUGAGGCUAAACCACGCUAAUGGCUAAUUCCCUCUCUUGUCCACCGAAAUGCUAAACUAAUGCCUUUGCUUGCUUAAUAAGACUUGCCUCUUGAAAACCCUCUAACGCUUACUUUCUUCCUCCCCAAACUAUACUUGAAGUUUGAUUAACCGACAACACUACUGUAAACCAGUCUUUUAAACGACUCCUGCCAGCGCCCAAAGAGUUUAGUAUGCACGACACUUCAAUUGACUACUUUGAUCUUUAAAGCCACCUAUCUCCUCCACUUGAAGCCAUUAGAAUGUUGCUUGAUGCAGCCUCACGCUAGACUCUACCUGUACUUUACAUAUUGUCCGGCGCGAGAGAGUAAGUUGUAGCACUUUGGCUUUGACGAACUCAACUCAACAAGCAAUAGAAUCAACUCACUAGUCAAAGGGGCUAGGGAACAAACAUACAAGCAAGAAACAAGCGCGCUAGCGAGUUCCAAGCGUUAGUCCGGCUCCGCUUUCACUCUCCCGCUCCUUACUCUUAGUCUUGAGUGCCCUCCCGCUUUUGAAACCUAUCUAUCUUUGCUUGCGUUCCGUAGCUCCUGAUCCAGAUUCUUUGCUAUCAACCUCAAACUCAUUACUGUUAUACCUUAACUAAUGCCUUAGAUCCUGUCCUUGCUGCCUACGAGCCUACCUCUAAACCAGUACCGCUGCUUUCAUUCUCUUACCAUUCUUUAGUUACUGACUUUUCUUCUGACUUGUUUGUUUGAGCCUGUCACUCUUAAACUACCAGCUCUGGGCCUGCCUCCCCCUUAUCUAAUUAUGGUUUUAGUCCAAACUAUACUUUAUGGAAUUCUGUAUUGAUAGCUUUAGUCUGCUACUCCUCUUUCUAUUAGUCUGCUUUUCCUUCUUUUUGGAUUCUGUAGUUACCGAUCUGCUUUGCUUCUUAGACUUAGGCGACCUCUGCCUUUCUUUGAUUCCAACUUUACUGGGUUCUUCAAUUGCCGAUUCUAUUUGCUUAUAUUCAUUAUGAAAUUGCUUAUUGCCUUUCGAACAUAGGAAUAAGAACAAGAAAUAGGGGUUAGGCUUAGGAUCUAGGCAAGGAUAGCUAGUAUUGGAUGAUAACUCCAUUACAGAACUACUAGCUUUGAUUAUUACUACAACGACUAUUAGGCUAAAGGCAUUAGUGCCGUAGUAAAAGCAAGACUCAAUGUAGGUAGCGGGAGACUCCACCUAUAAGUAAAAGAUCUAGAUCCGGGGGGAGUAGCUACAGACUCAAAAGCAGCAGUUGGGUUCUUUAGUUGACCUCGUCCGCAGGGGUUGGUUUAUUUAUAUCAGAAUAAAGUCUUAGAAGCACUAGUGGUAGUUUUCCUCGGAUAGGUAAUGCAAGUCAAGAGUAAAGCCCUAGAAGCUGUAGCGGGAUUCUUUAAUGAGUAAAUAAAGAGACUUUAUAAGCAUUUAUAGAAUUCAAGUAAACAGUACGUCCUCUAUUGCCAAUAAGAGGAAUGAAUGCUAAGGGAGGCUAUAAUACAUGAAAGUCAUACUUUUAGGCGGGAAAGGCAUACUCGAACAUUGGUAUUGAGACCGGGAUGGGAAUACUCAAACUCGGCAUUGAAGGUAAGGUAGGUAGGGCAGGCUUAGAAGCUGUAUCGGCAGCCCUAGUUGUACAAUCAAAGACAGGGGAUAGAAGCUCGUGGGCUGUAAUGCAAUCCUUUAUAUGGGGUUUUUCGUAUUGGAGGUAGUAGUUGCUGCCUUAUCCGUAGGAGUUCCAGCCUUGUAAGCCUCCGGGUCAGUGUAUUAUGCCCACAUUCCAAAUUCUGAGAGGCAGGGUUUAGCGGUGGUUUCGUUCUUGUACACUGGCGUUUGAUCCCAAUUAGGCCCUAUCUCAGUUAAGCUUGAGUACUUGUUUACUUGUCUCUCAUAUCCUAUAGCAACUUCUCUUUAUUCGAUUAAUAAACUAGAGACUUUCUAUUAAUAAACAAGAGACUUUAUCUUUAUUCUAUCAGUGGGUGCACUAGACCAUGCCAUACCUAUUACAUUGGCUCCAAACUGGAAUACCUAUUCUCAUUCUAUUGACUAGCGCUUUACAUACCUAGGCGAUUGACUCUAACUCUCAUUAUGAUUUGUCAUAUCAAACAUAUAUCUUUAAUUGCGACACUCAAACUAUUCCCUUACUGACCCAAGGAAUAUUCCCUAACUGUUGAUUCCAUUCUUGAACUUAUAGAUUGGAUUCCAUGUUUUUGUACUCAAUUCUUCUACUGUGGAGUUUGAUUCCACUGAUGACGUUUCGGUCCAGUAGGGUACCAAGUCAAUCUUACUUAAUGGAUAGGAUUCGCCUACUAGGGACAAAAGCCUUAAUAACAGCGGUUCCAUUCUUUUACGCCCGGGUUCGAUCCCCAGUUUUGAGUGUGAGUUUGGUUCAGUGUCUCAAUUCUGUAGUUUGUGUGAAGAGGUGAAGCCAGUAGCUGAUGAGUUCAAUCCUGUUGUUUCGGCUUUGGCUCUUGCUUUCCUAUUUCAUCCAAUAGAUCAUGUCAUAGACCUACUCGAGCUUCUAAUGCAUUUUCUGCCUAUCCAAUAGUUAUGCCAAUAGGCAGUUAGAGACAAGUCCAAAUACAAGGUUUCAAGCAAGGGAGGUUAUCCUUAAAAGAAAAGAAGUGGAGCAAGCCUUGAGCUGUAGGUAAGGUUCUAGUUCAGUAGGGGAAGUUCUCAGGUAAGUAGCGGAGUCCUAAAAGUAAGGAUAUAAUACCAACCUCAAGAAUGGAAGGCAGGAUCGAUUAUUGUUAUCCGCAGUUAGAGUUUCCGUUUUUACUAUAGUCGUCCAACCUAUUAGCAUAGUAUAUAAGCUUGAAACCAAUAGGCAAGGCUUAGAGACAGGAAGAGCGGACUCGGAGAAUAGAUAGUAAGGCUUAGCUAACGGAGAGGCGAGCUAACAAACAAGACUCUAGGGGGUAAGUCAAAGAAUGAAAAACUCACAAGCAAUACUUUAAGGCAGGAAAGGCAUACUACCAAAAAUCCAAUAAAGAGGUCAAGUCAAGGGGGACAGCCUUGGGAGCGCUCGUUCCAUUCUAUUUAGUCUAAGGGAUCGGACUUUUCUGAAAGAGAGGUAGCCUUAGAGACGGGGAAGGCAUAGCGCAAGGUAUGAGUUACAGACCAAUAGAAGGUAAAGACAGACUCGUAGACAAGAAGGUCGGGCUUUGACUUGAAAGUUCAUUCCGUACAUCCUGUUUUUGUCUUUGACUCCUUAUUCCUAGGUGUGAGUUAAGGUCCUGUUCCAUCAUAUAUAGUAGUCAAUCCUAUAUUAUAAGAUAUAGUAUUGGAACCACUAGCUUAAGCCUGAUGGUAACAGUAGUCGGAAGCUAGCAAGCAAGGAUACAAAUAAGCAGUUCAGAGUGAAAACAAGUCAAGUCAGACUUCUAAUAAGGAAAGGUAGCUUUGAAGUAAGUAGCAGCAGCCUCAUCAGUAGUACGAAGGAUGAAAAGCACGAGUUAUAGUUUGAACCUUGUAGUGGAACUAAUUAACAUACUCCUGUUGGUAACUACACUCAUUGUCCAACAAGCUACCCCCUUAGAGUCAAGGGGGGCAGGCUACGAAGUUCAAUACAGAUUGGAGAUCGGGAGCUACAGGCCAAUAGGGAAACAAGGGUUUUAAGUCAGUAAGGACAGGCUCGGGUUAGAGCAUAAGUCUUUGUGAUAUAAGUCUUUGUCGUGUAUUGGGUUCAUUCCCUCCAUAGCGUCGAUUUGAUUCUACUAGUUGGUAUUUGGAGUCUGCUUGUCUGUAGCCCUAUAUUGUAGGUUCGAGCCGUUAGUCAGUGGGUUUAUUCUAUACUAUAAGUAAAAGGAGUGAAAGGCAUGGGUGAAAGAAUGAGAAACUCUAUUUGAAGAGCGAAAGCCAAAAAGUAGAGGUUUUCGUUUAGGGUGAGAGUAUUGUUUUCACUUGUUCUAUAUGUUAGGGUGCCUCUUCUCUUCCUUUUUUUGAUAGUAUAGGGUUAGGUUCCAUAAUGCUAUUUGAUAUUUAAGGUGCCUAUGGCUAUAGGUCAAUCGAGUAAACAAGAAGGUUGAGACCUGUUUCUCUAUUAGAUAUAUAGGUAGGUAGUAGAUAUAAGUACUAAUGUGUUGGGGACGAUUGCAAAGUCAAUAAGAUGGUUUCUUGAGAGUAGGUGUGCAGGGAUCGAAUAUAGUGGAUGUUGGGUCCGAUUGGUAUAGUUUAGGGUUUAGGCGCCGAUAUGCUCUUAUGUGGAUGAGUCAAGUCCGGUACAGGAUGCCGGUCAAUAAUACUGCUGAUAUAUGGGGUGCCUCAACAAUUCUUCUAAAGAGUCGUUUUCGUUUCUAAAGAGUAGUGGUUGUUUUGUUCGGUGUUUGCAUUAAACAGCUAUUGACUCUUCACUUCAAGUUGGAUUGAUUUCAGAAUGGAGUAGAUAUCCCCAUCCUCCUAAUCAAUUAAUAUACUCAUAGGCUCUCUACGUUUGUCUUUCCUACGAGUAGCUCCGUUCCGUUUCUUUCAUAGAAUAGACAUAACGACCUAGGGGCAGUAAAGCAAGCCUUCUUUGUUCGUGCUAGGCUCGCACUACUGGGAACCUAUUAAGAAUUCAUAAAGAAGCGCAAAACCUCUAUCCUCGUCAGGGCAUGCAUUGAGUAUUAACAGGGCGAAGGGAUAUUGACGGGACUUACCUUUCAAACAGGCAUAUCUAAACUGACCUUUCAAACAAGGCGUAUCUAAUCAGUAUAGUAUCAUGGGAGAGUAGAGUGGUAGGGUCGGAACUGAGAGAAAGCUAUAUUUUGCAAUUGAUCGUUACCAAUAGCAACUUGAACUAAGUCCUCUGGUGAAUGAUCGAUGUGUGCCAGAUUGAAACCACCUUCUUUAUCAUUGGAAGAAGACCGCUUCGUAAAGCUAGGGCUGGAUACCUGAAUUGGAUCUUGAAUGCCCCGGUUAGGGCGCCUUGUGCGUGUGCUCUUAAUCGUUGGGCCUAGCUUAGCUCCAUUACUCAUUCUAGCUCUAGCCUCAUUGGGGAACAGGUCUGGCAAAAGGAGAAAGAACUAAGGCACACCCCAAACCGAAAUGCUCCUUACUUAUCUUAUAUUAUAGUUAUAGUAUGAUGUACGAUCAUAAGUUCCCAGAUUUCUCAUAAUAGGAAAGGAAGGGCUUUGGACUAUUAUGGUUUGAGAUUGAACUUCUCAUUCAAUGGGGAUCCAACUAAACCCCCAGGAAGGGAAGUGCCAAAGAAGAGGACUUCACCUAUCCUCCACCAAAGGCUAUAGGAGAAGGUACCUACCUUUUACUGAGGAUCCAAUUUCUUCUCGCUAACGCCCUUGUUGCCAUGCCCUCUAUCUCUCUCUUUGCUUUGGAUCGAGAAGGGUUGGCUCUGCCUCAGAUCUAUUCAGCUUCGACCAGACGACUACCGCUAAGUGAUGAAGUUUGUUUAGUGCGGAAUCUGGCAUACAGUUACCAAUCAAGUAGAAGUCAAUAGGCUCACUCAUAAAGCCCCCCGCUAGUAAGACAAGAAAACGCUUCGCUUGGUUGUCAUGUCAGGGCACUCUGGUAGGACGUGGCGUGGAGAAUUACCUGCAUUACGAGAAUGGGCUUCUCUUUUAAUGUAAUAGAAGAGUCACGGUCAAGUGAGCCCGGCUUUCUCCCUAAUCGACCUUACUCAGGGGAGUUGCAUUCAGUUAGGUAUAGGCUUUUUGACCUUGUGUUCUAUACUGGUAAGAGGCUAAUACUGGCAAAGAGUUAAGCAUUAACGUGUUUUGGGGUAUUAAUAGAAAAGAAGGCGCCCAACAAGGAGUAUGGACUUGGAUGCUUGCUGGGGAGAUCUAGAGAGAGUUCUAUAUCAACAUAGAAAUCCAAAGUAGUUCUCAGUUCUAUAUCAAAUAGAAGUUAUAAGUUCAAUAUCCAAUUAUUAUAAGUGUAAAUAUCAAAUUAAGGAAGAGUACGCACGGCUGACGCUGUUAGUUGAUCGAAUCAGAUACAGAUAGCUCUGGCUACCCCAAUUCUGAUCCACAUGAGGUAUGGCUCUGAGCGGAGUGGCUGAAGGCAUAGGUUUGCGAAAUCGACAUCAAAUAAGAUUGUAUAAUGGAUCCCUACGGAGGCGGGCGAAAUAACAUGAAAGAACAAACCUAUUCUUGGUAGAGUUCCCUGAGGACGUACAUAAGAGCACUAACCACUUUUGAGUGAAACUAGAAGCUUGUGCGCUUUAUUUGAUUGACCGGCCUGCCCAUCUUAUUUAUAGUAGCAUACCCCUAAGUAUCAUUUGUAUAGGAACGAAAGCAACACUUUGACUUUUGAAAGUAAUGGGCUACGCUUAUCCCUGACUAGUCAAGUAGUGGUAAGGUAGGUGCUGGUGCUGUGCUCUUCGAUGAAGAAAAUCUACAAUAUAUUAUAUACAAAUACAAAUAUACAAAUACUACAGAAAAUAUACAUACAUAUUAAUAGGUGAUUCAAUAGGUGAUUAAGGUAUCUAAACCAGAGCAGAGCAAAGUAUUCUCCGUUUUCUUGUGUCAGUGGUUAGAAAUCGAAAUUAGUGAACACGUCGCCUACUUUCUUUAAAAGGAAGCAAUUCUUCUUACCUAUAACCAAUAAGCCUUAUUACCUCUGUUUGUAAAAAUGGGGUUAUGGUUAUAGAAACCAUAGACUUAUCCAUUUGUAGAUGAACCUCCUUGUCGUAUUUAUUACCUCCUUGUCGUAUUUAUUACCUCGCCCGAAAAUCAUUGAAAAAUAUAGGCAUCCGGAAUACCGCUUAUCGACUGAAUCGCAUAUGGGCAAAUCGACGAGGAAUCACAGUAAAGCGCCCUAGUACCAUCACUCCCUUGCCGGAACAUUAGAAGACCAGUAAGACGUGGGUCCGCUCCUAAUCUUGAAUGGCCUCAUCAAUGACUGAAACACAGUAAUGAGUCACCUACUCUUUAUUUAGACAAGAAAGACGGCGGACAUUGAUGGCUCUAAGUCGGAUGGCCCCACUGGAGAGUGAGCGAAACGAAAAAGCAGUGCACACGCAAAAAACAUCAUUAUGGGCUUGCUUUACCUACCCUUUACUCAUCAUUCCGUUUUGGAAUCUACAAAGAUGAUGAAAUGAUUGGAUUAUUUCCGUCUUCUUGCUUGCUCUGUCUGAUACUAUGUAUGUGAAACCAGAAGAUAGUAGUUCCCCUGCGACGACAGGAAUCUCGUCCCUUCUACUCUUUGUUUAUGGUCCCCCAAAAGCAAAAGGAAAGAUUCUUCAUGAAAAUAGAAACCACCUAUGAGACGAUCCCUAGUCUAUUUCAUACAUUAUGCCUAGGUCAAAGGUAUGCCUGCUUUCUUUCUACCUAUGGGUCAAAGGUAUGCCUGCUUUCUACUUUCCACCUAGUUAAAUUCGAAGAGAGUCUAUCCACCCUAAGAUCAGAAAAGAGCCUAUUUCUCUUUUGUUUGAUUUAUGAGAAUCAGAGACAGGGUUCGAAUUCCUGUUGAGAAUGAAAUCAUGAAACUAAAUGAGAAACCUCUGAAAAAGACUUGUUUGUAUGGAGCUUGCAUACUCCCUGCGCGCGAUCGUAUACUUGAACCCUCGCUUUUGUUGGUGGUUCAGCGAUAGAUGGUAGUUUGCCUUAAUGAUGGAUAGCCUUGCCAAGGAUUCGAUUUCUUUAUCUUUUCAAAUAGAGAAGAGAUCGCAUUACGAUAGGACUGACUGCUGGCUUAGUAGUUCUUUCCCCGGGUACCAUGACAGUGCGAGCACCUUUUCCGAAAACCCAUUUAAGGAAGGGCAGGAUAGAGCAGUUUUCGGACUCAAAGUGUAUAUGGAUAGAACCUUGUCCAGAUUUCCUACUUUACAUCUCUGCAAAGAGAAAUCAAUUCAAUAAAAACAUGACCCAUAGCUACGAAAUGAAUCCAAUUAGGUCCCUUAAGAGAGAACUCAAUCUCAUGCAUCGAUGUAUUCCUUCUAGAACUAUAGUCGCCUGUCUUUUGAGUUCAGGGAGAUGGGCAUGUCUUCUUCGAAAAGGAGGUCGUGGUCAACGAUCAAAAGUGGCUUUGACUACACGAAUGGGAUAAGCAAGAAGAAUGGAAUGCUGUAAUACUGUCUUCUUUGGUUCUAAGAAAGAUAUUCAAAGACUCUCUACCCUACCGCCUGCCGACGAUGGACCUCAAUCACCAUCAUAGUAGGGCAAAGCUUGUAAACAAACACAGAUUUAGACCUUUCCUUUAGUGGAGAACCUAUUGAUGGAGACAUCGCAACAAUCAUCUUACAUUCAAUCUCAGAGAUGAUAGUGCGGACUUAUGAUGGGCAAAAGACUAAGAUCUAGAAAUAAUGAUAGGGCCGGGCCGCACCCUCUCGCCUUUUAGUUACUUUUACCGAAAUACGAGACUGACUCCUAAAUUCAGUCGUUCCUCACUAAAUAUAAGAUUUUGGAAAGAGUCAAACAGUCCCGUCCCUUUGGACUCGAAUUAGUUGUAUAUCAAAUGAGAUUGUAUAGACCCGCCAGCAAUCCAAAUUCUAUCUCAAUAUUAGCGCAAUGGUUCUUAUCCAUGGUUUGGCCAGAGCCCCACCUUUGUCUUUCUUGUUUGGGUGAGGAAAAAGCGGAUACAUAAGCAUCAGGCGAUAGUCAAAAGAGAAGGUUGUCUUUCACAGGACAUUCCAUUCAGUUAUCUAUAGCGGUGCCUAGCUUAUUUGUUGGAUAAUGCUUCUUCCUGCUUGAAAGCCCUUCAUGACUAGGUAGAGGGGAUUAAUCUAAAUAGAAACAAAUAUCAAUCUGGGAACGAUAGGAUCAAUCAAUGCAAUUGAAUUGAGGCGAGUGAAGCUAUAGGAAGGCAGUAGCAGACCAGACCCGAUUGGGAGGGAGUCUUUGCGUACGAUAGGUGGUAUAGGGUUUUUGGAAUGGAGUUCAAACGGAAAUGGCUCGAUUGAUUUGCUUACAGGAAAAAGACUAGUUUCAGAAAUCCAAUAAUUGGAACAAAUUGAGUGACAACGCAACGGACACCUUUCUUUCUCACUCAAAAGCUCAUCGUUUACCAACGAGUAUUGAGAGUAUAUACUCUUACAAAGACAGACCUGUGAUCCACUUUCGAUCUAAAGCACCCGAAUUCUACUCGCUUAUUUUAUUACUUUGAUAUGCGUUCAAUAUUCGAUUUUAUGGAAUGGAAUUAAGCUUCACUGCUCCUAUCCAUGCUUUCGAAUUCCUUUAUUACCGACCCAUCCUGGCUAUUUCUCCUAUUUGAGAUAUAACCCAUCCUGGCUAUUUCUCCUAUUUUAGAUAUAAUUAGAAUAAUGUCUUUGUUAACUUAUUAGUAUAGUCCACUCUUACCUUAGAUCAAAGAAAGUCAGACUGAGUAUUUUUCUAUACGAGACGUCGAUAAAUCCUUUGUAUAUGAAAUUAUUGUGAAUGGAAAGCGCAUACAUCGAGUAAAGAAAGACGGAAGAAUGGGGGAAAAUAGAGUACCACUACUGACUAAAGGAUUAUGAAACUCAAGAAAAAGAACCCUAAAAACAAGGGGGAACUGUCAUAAUUCAUACAAGUAACUAGCUAACGCCUGAGAUAGAGACCCCGUCUGUGACUCGUGAGAUAGACCACCCCGUCUGUGACUCGACUUCUUUUAGUAGUGUGCUCCAACUUACCCUUAUACUUCGCUCGGUUCGGUGCUUAGAAAACUCCAAUAACAUACCAAUAACAUCAAGGGUAAGCGUUAGCUUACCUUUUCUCUUCUCUUAGGGAGCGCUAGGGCAAUAAGCUAUGUUGUUUAGGUCACUUUCAUAUAUUAAUAAUGAGUGAAGUUAGUAAUUGUCGUUAAGAUUCAUUUCUUUCAAGUUGAGUGCACCUUUUGCCUAUAUGAGUGAUUAAAGGAAAAAUACAGGAGUUAUGAAAAUCAAGAGAAGAGUAUAGUAUGCUCCGCUCCGUUUUAGAAGCAGAAUAAGCGUGAUCGCGGACAGGAGAAGGGGUUAACUGACUCUGUGACUAUAACCUUAUUGAAUGGAAUCGAAACUUGUCGAGCUUCACUUGCUACCGAGAUACCAGCUAUAUACUUGCUACCGAGAUACCAGCUAUAGCUAUAUAGUCGUGGAAUUCAGAAGUUUGGAGGACGAGUAGGGUCGGUCAAAUAGGAAUUCAAUAUCAAUCAGUCAACCUGCAAUUAAGGGCAUAUCAUGAAUUCCAGAAUAUAUAUGGCAUAUCAUGGAAUAUAGUAACAAAACACUAUAAACUCACUUACUCUGUAGUUUCCAAUCCUUUUUUUCCCUGACAUAACACAUAUGUUCUAAUUGCAUAACUGGACUGUUUACUCCAACCAAUAAGCGUUAGAGCACCCCAAGAUAGAGAAUGAUAGAUUAGUUAGCGAGCGGCGAACUCACAUUGCGCUUACGGAGCACUUGUUCAUUCUAUUGUUUGUUCUUUUCUUCUGAGACUUAUGUCAGUUAUUAGAGUUUGGGCCAGUAUGUAAAGUUCACCUUUCAUUUCAUCUAUCUAGCCAUAUGAUCUUGAAUAGCUAAUCCAUCUUGUGCAUCAUCUCUAGCCUAUAAGGGAGUAAGAUGACCUCUUUAUAUACUCAAUGAGAAGCAUUCGCCAACCACUAAUUAGCUCCUAGCGCACACAACAAAAAGAAUGAACUAACGACCACAUGAUACGAAAACGUCACUCAUGUUUGUAACUAAUGCAGAUUCUAUCGUCGCAAAGACAGAUCAGAUGAAACUCCACCUUUCCCGCUUGCUGCUUCUGAUCUUGAUUCUGAUCCUGUAGUAGUUAAGGAUACGGCUGCCAAUAACAUAUUAUUCCCUUAAUAAAGCAGCAGGGGGCAGAAGCUUCUUUUUCUUCGUAGGGGUUUACAGACACAGCCGAUUCCCUAAUUGCCCCAUGCUAUACUCAAUGAGACUCUAUUCUUUCUACUGUUCCUUUUCCUUUAUACCUAACAGCCAGCUUAUUAGAUACAGACAGCACUGCCAGCUUAUUAUCGGCUUCAACUGAAAGUCAUUAUUAAGCUUCUUCCCAUUUCUGUAGGAUCAAAGUCGACAACACAAGAUUCAAGUCGCUAACUCUUUUCGGCAGUUUAGAAUUCCAUGAAACAAUUCCAUUCUUUAUCGGGGAAAUAACCAACAAUGAAAUUAUGUAUUUGGAGGCACCGGAUAUAGGCAUGAGUAAAGACACUGAACGCACAGGGACAAGCACUUCUGGACCAAUACUGGAAUCUGGAACUACACUUUCCACUGCUUCUUCAAAUGGUGUUGGAGUGGAGUAUAUCAAUUAGUAAUAUGAAAAGGAUCUAUACCCAGGCUCGCUAACAGAGCUGUUUCUUCUCAAGUCGACAACACUAAUUGACUUUGCGCUUACAGCUUCCUUUAGUACUGCUUAUUCUCCCCCACUCUUGCUUCUGCCUUUGUCCUAACCCUAUUUGGAUAGUGAAAUAAGGGUUCUUUGAUAGUGAAAGUAAGCGUUCAGCUGCCUCUGCUCUAUAUGAGUAGGUGUGUGACCUCUGUUCUAUAUGAGUAUAGUGUAUCAAACUCGUCAACUUCAUAGCUUACACUGCUUAAAGAAAUGAAUCUGUAACUUAGAAGGGGAACUCACACAUCAAUCUCUGACUCUCGGAUCCAGCUGGGUUAGUCCGAUAAUUUGUGUCGAACCUUGCUUGGGCUGGCUUGGCUCUAAGAAGAAGAUAUAGUAGAUGAAAGAGGCUCCACGCUAUAACAGUGAAAAGAUUUAGCAGGUUAAGAACUUCAAGUUUAGAAUAGGUCGGCUCAAAGGCAAGUAAGGGAUCCACCAACCAAGGUAAGAAGCAUAAGCUAGAUAAGAUUAUGUAUAAAGUGGAGUUUACUUUAGAUAAUGUCAGAAUUUCCGUUUAUAGCUUAGUCUAUAAUUCAGUGACAGGGAGUACAUUCCUUCCCUACCCGGAGACAUAGUCCGCAAGUGGUUUAAGUGCUUGUGUCUAAGGCUUCUUUAAGUAGAGUUCUAGACUAAAGUAGAGUAGAGUUCCAGUUCUCAAGUAGUCUACGAGAGAAUCAGCAAUUACUGGCUUUGAAGAAGAAGCUUUAUCAAAAUCAGAAGCAGUUUCAAGAGAAGUAGCAGAAUAUCUUACUGGCUACGCAGGGUGUUGGGCAUCAUAUCUUACUGACUUUUCAAGUUGAAGCUAGGUGUGGUCCACGUCGUCGAUUGAAGCACGGUGACACUGAAUACGAGUUAUUAAGUUCCAGAAGAGAGAGACGCCGCUCCACUCUUUUUGGUAGUGUUCCAUCCUUGUUAGCAGUGGUUUCCUUCUUUGUUUGACCUUAGACUCCUUUCUUCGAUUCUGACUUUGGAGCUUACGGACUGACGCUACACUCUUUUGGUUUGAUUCUUUGUUUCUACCUUGAUUCUUAUACCUAUGAGCUCGAUUCUACGCCUAUGGGAAAAGAAAGGCUAUCCGCCAGCACUCGCCCAUUAUGGGACUGUUGAGUUGGACUCCCUAUGGUUGGACUACCCUUUUGUAUUCCUAUUAGUCUCAUGCGCUAGUAGCUCGGACCCGACCCUUAUUCUUAUCCCCAUGGUCGAAAGACGGCAAUUGAAUAAGUAGAGGCGAGAAGUCAGCCUAAAAGCGAGGGCUGCUUUAGAUGCCUGAGAUUCCAUAAUAUAAGUUGGAAGGGAAAGUCAGUAAGUUACAGUUCCAAAGUUCUCCUGUUCCUGUUCGAGUUAUAGUGUUUUCUUAUAAGGAAUACAGUAACCAAGGAGAUAUAAAGGAAGUAGGUAACACCAAAGUGAGUUGAACCAAUUCCAAAUUCUAAAGAGAAUCACCAAAACUCGAGAAACCGAAUUCAUGCCUUGUUUUUUGUUUGUUGCUAUACACUUAACACUAAGCAACUCCACGCCAAAAAGGUCUCGAUCAAGGGCCUUCCGCCUUCUCGUGCCACAGCUCUAAUCCGAAUGGCUUCAACUAUGAACGCAAUUUCCAGUUCGAGCAAGAGCCGUUUGUUUUUCGAGAAAAUCCAGAAACUAGAAAACGGAUCGUCGUUAAGUCCGGCUUGCAGAACCGUCUUUCGGAUAACUAUAAGUGUGAGUCGGUUAGCUCCUUUUUCUGUUGCUGUAGUUGGUCGAUAAACACUCCUAUAUUUCGUAAUGAAAGACUUAAUUCAGUGAGCUUGGUACCGCCUGUUCAAGGGGUUGGAGGAGAUCAAACCCAAGAGAGGCCCGAGCACAACGUCUUCAUGAGUUAAGUGUUCCCACCUUGGGAGCUGAGAGUCAGGCCUGCAUUAGUGGAAUAUCCUUUACAGCCUUCCUUUAUCCGACCAGACAACUAUUCUAGUUCCACUUUUGAUACCGGGCAGAGCAGCUAAAGUGGCUUCAGCCUCUUUCUUUUGGCAGUUGCUUGCGAAGAAUUUGGGUAUUACUUAUCCUAGCUCAGAUAGAGCACUUGAGAGAGAAUUCGAAUAGUAGGGUUUGGAUCGUAAGCACAAUGGACUCGCUGCCUUAUCUGUCAUAUAGGAAUAUCGAUAGCGAGCAGUACCCAUCGGUUGCAGCUAUAAUCGUUUGCAGCUAGUACCCAUCGUUUGCAGCUAUAAGUAUAGAGCUCGUUCUUUUCUUACUUACCCGACGGUCGGAACUUUCAAAGGAUUCUCCCCAUCUAAAGAGCACUUCGUUCCUAAUAAAUGCAGACGGAAAGGUAGGACGGACCAGUGGAAGACUUAUGUCGAGAAGAACGUAGUGGCUUGUUGGCACAGAUGCCUUAAUUGAUCUUGUUGGCACAGAUGCCUUAAUGGAGAAUUGCAUCCAUCCAAUUAUGCACUUAAGAGAUUGACAGUCCUCCGCUCAGGCAAAGAAAAAACCGAAUCUUAUUAUACUUAUAUUGGAUCCAAAUUGAGAAUAGAACCUAAAGGUUGGUGGAUCAUGGUUCUACUAAGCGCCCUUCACCCCUGGUCCUUCUCAUAUGUCUUAUACUGGAAUGGCAUUUUUCUUAGGGUAAGUUCUUUGUCAAUAAAUUGGAUGCCCUAAGACGUAAUCAAGCCUUGCCUUUUCUUUUUGUUCUCGAUCUCUUCUCUUUAGAACUUAUAAAUAGCACGUAAGCAUGACAAAGGAUGGGAGCGGUGAUUGACCAGAAACAUUCUGUAAAAACAGAAAAGAGUAUCUUGCUGGAAUGGAUUUCAAAGAGCAAUCGUAAGGCCCACCAAUCUAACGCCGACAAGUGGUAAGACUAUCCCUCGUAAGACCGACAUUCCUCAUUCACUUCGAGGUGUGGCGCUAACUAGGCAUUCAACGAAAACGGAAUUAGUGCUUAACUGAAACUCCCCGAGGAAUCAAAACCUUUAGUAAUAUCUUAUUAGUCAGAAAAUAGUAUACUUUUGGCGAAGCUAGCCUCUAGUUCUAGUUAAAGUAGUCGAUUGCCGGGCUAUCCAUAGGGAAAAGUCCUCGCCGGCGGGAAAGGAAAAAGAAGGAAUUCCCGAUCCGAGCUACUAUUGGUGAAGCAUAGUUCGUCCUUGCGCAAAUAUCAAUAAGGAAAGAAGCUUUCAUUUCAGGGACCUAGAAUAGAUUCAUAUAGAGAUCGUGAAGAUAGCACAUUAGCCUAACUAUUCGAAAUGACGUUCAAUCAAUCCAAAUCCAAAGAAUAAUAGAGGAAGGAGCGAUAAACAGAUAAGUUUAGAGAGGAAGGAGCGAUAAAUAGAUAAGUUGAGAAUGCUCUUGUUUCAUUUCAGAAUCCAACACUUGUUAACUCCUAUCUCCAGGGGCAGAGGUACCUUAGAUUAUAUGCCCCUACAUAAGGACAGGGACUUUGCUUAGGACUGCAGGAAAUAGGAUAGCUACUAGGCCAGAUACUAGAUACACACGCACUAAACAAUAUAUGGGAAAGCCUCUUAGAUAGUAUAAAGAAGGACAUCUGGCUUACAGGGCUUACCUUUUGACUUCUUCGCCGACAUAAUGUUUCGUAAAAGAGGUAGUUCAGAUCUUUUAGAUAGAGUUAGUAUCUCGGUAUGACAGAAAGAUAAGAUGGCAGAGAAUCCGAUGUGAACAAAGGGAAUGAGCUAAAAGCAGCUUUCCUUUCCCAACUCAAAAAAGAUGGUAAGAAGAGGAACGGAAAAGGGAUAUCGCAAAGGAACAGGCCAGACAUUUGCUGGGAAGGAUAUCCUUCCAAGAUAUUCCACCUAGAAAGAAAGUUCUAUAUAUAUAUAAUGCCUUACUUGAUUGGUGAGACAAGAGAGAAAGCUUACAAUACUGGAUUUGCGAGACAAGAGAAUCGGCUGGAUAAUAAUAAGUUAGAGAAGCUAGAGCAGAUGAACCAUUAAUUAGUUCAGAAAGUAGAGUGGAGUUACUAUCUUCUAAGUAUUCUAAGUUAGUUAGGGAGUCUUGAGUGGAGUCGACGAAAGAAUCAUCAUCAUAAGUUCAAAAGCAUAAGCUGGAUAAGAAGCUUUAGAAGGAGCAACUGAAUCAACAGUGCCAAAGGAAGCUGCAAGUGGUUGAGAACAAGCAACUCCCACUCGGGGUGCCGAUAUUCUAGAUUCCAGUUUCGAGUCAGCGGUUCAAUAACAUGAUGCACUUCAAGUGGUGCCCUUAAUUACUGGCGUCAGUGAGUUUGUUUUUCCUACUAUCCUGGGUGUUACCUACUUCGACCUGCCCCUAAGAAAACUAUCUAAUUAAUCUUAUGUUGCAAUAAAUAAGUGAAUCGGUGUUGCAGUAACUGAAUUAGCAGUAGAGAGUUAGUCAGUAAGAGAAGGUCAACCAUUGAAACUCUGGAUUCCAAUAGAACAAGUCUAUACCUCUGGGCUCUUUCAACAGCAUCUGAUCUUUCUUGAAGUUAUUCAUUUCAUUAGUUGACCAGAGACGAGAAAUAGGGGUUCUUCAUCCUCUAUGGUGCUAGGCUAGACUUAUGGACUUGGUUUGACUUCUUCCUUUCUUUGUUUUGCAUGCGGCGUACUUAAGGGUAGUGGUCGACCAGAUAGAGAGCUGGUUUAGGUUUACAGUUUACAGUAGCUUGUUUUAGUAACUCCGUAAGCGCAUAAUUGAUAGAUGUUGCUUCUUUGUUUCGAGGUGUGCUAGUUAGUUUAGUGAGUUUGUUUACCAAUUUCUAUAAGAGAUGGAAGAUAUAUGAAUUGAAGAUCCCUCUUGAGAUACUAAUCAAGCUUAUUAGUCGCCCCCAACACCUAGACUUUGCACUUGACCUAGAAUUGAAGGAGGAUUAACUCAAGGCAUCGCAGCUGACGCUGCCCUCGCAUCAAAACUAGUACCAGAUUCAGAACUGGCUUCGGCAUAUGAUCGAGUAUGCUUUCUUCACACUUCAUUCAAAAACUCAUUUGUUAUGUAUUUGAGCACCAGACAUAGAAGAAAAAGGAAAUCCGUUGUUUAUUGAGCACACACAUGUUAUAGAAUAUUGGGAAUAUUACCCACCUGUAUAUAUGCUCAACGAUACUAUCUUCCUUCUUUACCAGAACUAGACUUUCUGAUUGCCCCAACUCGUAUACUCAGUUAAGCGCUAACAGAGCUAAAUCCUCUUAUUAUGAUUAUUAUUACCGGGGGGAUCUAUACUAGACCUAAGACCCUUUGCUUGUUCUCUUGCAUACCUCAGACCCUUUGCUUGUUCUCUUGCAUUGCAUAUACAAUUGGACUCUCCAUCUCGCAUUAACCUAGCUGUCAAGAAAGCAGGGACUGGCAAUACUAAACAAAGUAUUCAGUCAACUACAAAUCAUCCACAGAUUAUAGUGCUAAGAGUAAACUAAUACUUGAUUUUAUCUAUCUCUAGCUGAAGCAACAAAUACUUAGUGGAAUCAACAAGGGAAUAGCGAAUACAAAUGAAUAUCCCGGGACCAACUCUUACUUGACAUGCCCAUCAGUAUUACCUUCCCAACUAGCAGUCUUCUAUUACUUGCUUUUUGUCUGAAGCUCCUUGUUUCUCUUUCUUUAGUUCGGUAUCUAGGCCUACUCUACUUGGUUUCACCCCCGUGUACUGCUUACUUGCAUCAUGUAUUGCUGCUUUGAUUCUUCUACUCAUGCCUCUCUGCCUUGUUUUAUGUAUGUUCUUCCUUGCUCUUAUUCUGACUAUCCUUCCUAUGAGUCUGCCCUCCUUUAUUGCAUUCCGACUACAGAGGUUCAAUCUUAUACUUACAACUAUGGGAACUGGAACGAGACCGCUACCGAUAAGAAUCAAUCUGGAAAUCCAGAAUACUAGGGGUGUGUGUUCCAUAGUAUCGGAAUGUAACUAAGCGUUAAAAGAAUCAAUCCAUAAAUUCAGAAUGCAGGAAAGGAGCAGUGCCUGGACGACUGUAACCAAUACUCCGGUAAGAAGGAACCGAACCUCUCAAACAGAAGAAAUUCACCAGUAAUAGCAGGAAUGGAGCUACUGGCUAACAGGCUAACUGUCCUUACUCUGAUUCUAGCUACCUUGCACUUCAUUCUAUAUCUCUUUGCUAUUGGUCUGUUACGAUGCCUGUCACUUUGAAAAACGUCUUUUGUAUAGGCAUCAAAUUCAUUCUAGGCUCUCUUAGGCGUAUGACAUGGUGGAUUAGCUAUCCAAACUAAUAAAUGACGUUCUAGUUCAUUUGUCACUAAUAUCUUAGUAAAGGAAAGGAUCUAACUGAUGCCAACAAGGAUCGAACCACUGCUAGAAAGAAUAGAACCUCUGCUAUAAAGGCUUGCUUUACAGUAUCUGAGAAUAGGGCUAAGGUCUAGCACAAUACCUUAACUACCAAAUGGGAAUUACACGACUACAAAUCAUAAUUCACUAUCCUGGUAGUCAACCUUAAUUACUAGCUUCAAAAUGGCACUAGAGACUAAGACUCUUCCCCUACUGCCCUCAAUGCUAUAGUUCAAUUGCUAGUCUGACUUGACUCUUUAUCUAAAUCUAAUUCUUCUAAUCCAUAUAUCAAUUCCUUAUUGAAACUAGUUGGUCACCAAGACCUAAAACACAACUGCAAUAAGAAACAACACUGAAUUGGUUUAUGUAUUAGUUAUUGUCACUAACCAAGCAACUCGCCACUACUAUUAUCCAAGUCACUACCUGGUUUACAGCGCUUUCAUGGAAUUUAAUACGAGAGUUGAGUGAUAGUUUUUUCAUUGAAACACAUAUAUAACUCAGUAACCAAACACCGAUUAUGGAAUUGGAAUCCAUGAAUGAAAGUCAGGCAGGAAAGAAUCUUAGUCUGGCUUGCUUUACCUUGACUCUAAGGGCUAUCUUAUUAGGCAUAAAAUGCAUUGUCAGAGCCUUUUCGGGGAUUUUCUCAAUGUAUUUAUGUAUCUUUCAAUUAGAAUGUAUUUAUGCGCGAGUCUUUCCUUUGUAGCGGUAGGGGCAUAAUUGGAAUAAGUCACUAACACACCGGAGGCUCACUAAUGAGUAUACGCUUGGCUCUCUGUCUUUCCGGAGGCUCACUAAUUAGUAUACGCUUGGCUCUCUGUCUUUGUAGCAGUGUCUUGUCUGCUUGGCCGGGGGCAUUUGCGUUUUUUCUCGAUCAACUAUCUGUAUUGAAUGAAGAAAUCAAGAUAUAAAAGAUAUAUGAAAUUGUGAAUCAAGAUCUAGAUGGACCCCUAUUGAUCAAGUAGUGGGCUCCAGGUCUAGAUAAUGGAAUGGAAAGGGUUCGGAUGGGAUUUCGAUCAAGUGAGAGUGCUUAUACUUCUGUCUCAUAGCACGAUGGUUGUCUACUUCUGUCUCAUAGCACGAUGGUUGUCUACAGGGGGCACCUUCGAGUUCUACUCUUCCGAAAACAUACGUAGGUUUAUUGGCUAAUACCUAGCGCUCAUACAUAAGCAGCCGAGUUCCCGAGUCAAGAAAGCAAUGCUUGCCUUUUCUUCAUAGGAUCAACCCUCUUUACGUACGGCAGUGUCAUUAGCAUUUCAAAGUAUGCAAUGCACAUGUGAAAAGAGUACUAAUACGAGAUAGCACCUGGCCCUCCAUUCCAAAGGAUUCUAACGGAAGAAGAUCUACUUUUCGAUAACGUGUAGUGGGGACAGUUCGUCUUGAAAGCAGUGGGAGCCCCAAUACACUACCUGAGAUUGGAAUGAGAUAUCGAGAAAUUCAUUCAACUUCAAAUCAAGGUUUUCUUUGGCUUAAGUAUAGAGGUAGGGCACAUAGGCUAUUGAUAAGUAUUUCAGUAUGAGUCUCCCGCUCGUCUUAGCUAUAGCUCUCUUCUUCCGCAAGGGUAGCUUCUUUGCUUUGAACCAACCCCCGAGAACGAAUUCUUUUGAUUCAAUACAGCCCGCUCUUUUGUCAACUGCUACUGUCAACUUUUAAAGAUACAGACGGUCCUCAUGGCCUGAUUGGGCAAAUGGAGUUUUUAGGGGUGUGCCAUUCAAGGUAAGCAAGAAAAGACAGAAAUAAAGGGAUGGGGCGCUUACUAAGGCAGCUUCCUCUUUCCCCAUAGGGUGUUCUAAAGGUGACUUGUUUCCUUCUUCGGUAGGAUGCUCAUCCCGCUUUGGGCUUAUUCUCGGUUUUUUAGAAUGAUGAUGAUGAUGAUUUGAGCUUUGUCCCCUUUCAGCGCGUUGUUCUUCGUUUAGAUAGAGAUCCUCUUCUUUCCUAUAUCCUUCCUAGAUUCCCCUUAGAAUAUUAUUCCUAGAUUCCCUUUCCUAUAUCCUUCCUAGAUUCCCUUUCUGGAAACUCCAAUAAGCACUCCUAUAAUCUCUCAGAAGCUACAGCAUUCAUUCCUUGAACUUGAAAGAAAGAAUGGAAUAAGUUCUUAUAAAGGAAGAAAGAAUGGAAUAAGUAACACUAUUAUUGUAUAGAAUUCAUUAACCACUAUUAUUGUAUAGAAUUCAUUAACCACUAUUAUUGUAUAGAAUUCAUUAACAACACUAGAAAGACUCUGAAACCACUUCCCUUCUCUUAGCGCCAACCUCUGGAGCACCCUAGCUUUCGAUCAACCCGUUAAGCUUGUUCUGACUCACUUGCUUGUUUAGGUAAAACUAACACUGACGCGGCAGCCAAAGAAAGGACAACUUACUAUAAGAGCUCUCGGCUCGGGGUCACAAAACGGAGCAGGUGCAGUCUACCCCUACUUUAGAAAAUAGAUGAACAAAACGUAGCUGACCAGGUCCAGUCUACCCCUACUUUAGAAAAUAGAUGAACAAAACGUAGCUGACUAUCGGGGUAACUGAGCUUACUCUCUGGGGUCGGGGCGCGCAUUUAGUUAUUGUUGUUCAGGACGGGAGUUUCGUCUAGGCUUUCAAGUUUGCCCAGCUGCUCCCACUCGACUUUAGCGCCCAGAGCCUAGCUACCCGGCACCCGAAACUGUAAAUGCAUUCUUUGUCCUGUAUUCGCCCAUCUUUCAAGUCCUGUGUUCGCCGACCCGAACUCAAUUGGAAAUUACAAGGGAAAGCCAAUCGUAUUAAUAAAGUAGCACCUGACCUAUACUUUCUAUCUUCUGCUAUAGGGUGUAGUGAGCCUAUACUUUCUGUCUUCUGCUAUAGGGUGUAGUGAGUCUUCAUUCUUCCAGAGAUUCUCUUCGGCUUCAGGUCCCGACAAACAGGUCAUUCUCCAAUUCCGUAAUGAGAGCCCGGCCCGCCUCACAAGGAGCAGUAGGCGCAAGAAACCCAGAAAAGGAAGCGCAGAAGAAACUGCUGUGCCUGUUUUCCCGUUAUAUAAGUUUGGGCAACAGUAACAGGCAAUUCAUAAGCUUACCCAUUUCAGUUCCUCUGGCAACUAUUCGAGGUAAAGUUUCUAUUGAUAUUUACUAGAAAAUCGAAAUGAUCACUUUUUAGAAAGAGUACUGGAAUGCGGGGCCCCCUAGAUCAUCUUAUUUAGAGACCAUUGAGGUGAGUUUCCCUUUUCCAUUUCGUCUUGGAGUUCUUUUCUUUGAGGAAUGGCAGCGGGUAAGCACAGUGUGGGUGUGCUCUUUUCUCGUUAUGGGAUCUUUUGCUCGUUAUGGGAUGCAGUGGCUGGUUUCUGGAUUGGAUUCCUUCUUCCCAAAACUCAGAGCUUUACGGAAACACCUGAGUGGUUUUGCAGAAAUGUGGAAUGGUACCCCCUUCAACCUUCAACCUAAUCAGCUUCUUCAAAGUGUGCUCUGCUUGCUCUGCUUUAGGUUUCUGCUCAGUGGUUUUCUCAGUGUUUUCCUCAGUGUUCUCUUUCUUUUUCGCUAGUUUUUUCAGGGUCUCUUCUUUCGAACUUAUUUGGCUUGGUUCCCAAUUCUUCCCAGUGGAGAAAGUGAUCAUCAUAGCGAUGGAUUCCGAAAAGUCCUCGAUAUAGGCUUGUACCGGCCAUGAGGCAAACACCGUUUUUCAAUUCCGUAGUUCUUUUUCGGUAGUGUUCUUGCCAGGGCCCAUUCGGUUUUCUGCGUGUCCUGUUGUUCAAGAAAGCAUAUAUAGCUACAGGUCUCCACGUGUUGCUGAAGAGACACUUUUUGGUCUACCUUACUUCAUGGUUUUCUAUAGUUUUGAAUUCCAUUCCUGCGCUUCCACGUAUGCGAACUCCAAAGCUGUCAGUGUAGCCUUUUCCCUGUGUUUUUUUGGUGAACUUCUUUAGAUGCAUGUGUGCGGUAAAGCGCCAGUCCUCUAUCAACCUUUAGCCGGUAAAGCGCCAGUCCUCUAUCAACCUUUAGCCUAAUAGUCUUGGCGUUACAGCCAUUUUCGCAAUUGGAUUCUUUUUUUGUGUUACCAAGCACCUCUCUCCCUCCUUCAUAUGUCUCUUGAACCAGUGUGCAUUGGGGGUUUCAUCUUUUUGGAUCUUCUUUUUCCCACUCUAGGGUAUUAGAUCCGCGCUAAUUCCUCAUUGUACAUAAUUUGGAUGUUCUUUGAAUUGAACCACUGAACAUUUGUCUGUUUAAGCCAUCUUUGUAUGCAUCUGUAUAAGGUGGCUAUGACCCUCUAUUCUAGCAGUUCUUCGUUCUUUGAGUUCCACUUCUAUCUUCCAAAUCAUUCAUGGAAGUUCCCAUAGUGGCACAUACUAGCAUUGGGCAAAUUGGUGAUGGCUAUAAUGGGUACAUAUCUUUUUGGAUUUUCUGGAAGGGUGUUCUGUACGCCUACAUUUUCUCCCAUCAAGUAUUUCAAGGAGUUAGCUUAGUUUUACAGAGCCAUUGCAAUUUGGUUAGUUCUCAACCCCUUGCUUUACCAAAUCUUCUUCCAAAUGGAAAUCAUCCAAAAUCCAAAGAGCGUAGUGGUCGUGUGCCCCGAUUAAGUCAUAGAAUAUUGUACUCGGUGUAUAGGUGUAUAGCACUGUGCUAAGCAUUUGGCACAUUACAGUCUUUUGUGUUUCAGUCCUCCCAUAAAGUAGUAGUAGCUUUGUCAUGGGUGGUCUUUCAAAGAGAAGGUUGCAUACUACCCAGUCCCAAAAAUCGGUAUUUGUCACCUAAUUCUCCGAAGGUAUAUUCGUUGGGGUUGUUUUUUUCCUUUCUUUAAGUACUCAGUCAAUCUCUUUUGUUUGCAAGGCUUUCAGCACCUUCAUUAGUAUUCCCCUCGUUUCCUCGAAUAUGACUUUGAGGGCAUUAAUGUUCCUUACGAGAUUCGCCUCCCAUUCUGUAUCCUUACGAGAUUCGCCUCCCAUUCUGUAUCCUCAUAGACUUUUUCCCAUUCCCUUCAUUCCUUUAUCUUUCGUACAACAUAUAUUCUCCAUUGUGGGAUCUUUUUAUGCAGUGUUUGCGCCUUUAGGUUUCCCGUAUGUGUUGAGUGCUUUCCCCAAAUGAGUUUCUUUUUCUCAUCCUGAAUUACUUACUUGCACACGGAAGCCGAAGCUCUGUGAAAGGAAAGGCCAAAUAGAAUUGUGCUCCAAAAUGAUGAAGUCUCAUGGGAAAGCCUUUCUUAGAAUAGGAGGGUUAGCUUCUUCUUUGCGCUACCUACUCAACGAGUAUUCCCACGUAGAAAUGGUGUCCUGUUUUUCCGUGCUGUUCCCUCGCCACAAUGAUGGUAGUACAUGCCGUGGCUGUUCAUAUCCUUCUCCCAACAGAAUUCUUAUCUAUGUCUUUCUGGGGUUUGAUCUGCCCCGCUUAAGGUAAGCUGCAAUAAUUUCCUUAUAUGAGUGUUGGACCUCUUGUUCAGAAUGAUCCUUUUUCCACUGUAAGAAGAAUGCAACUGGUUACUUUGUUCACUGGUGUUCUUUUGGAACUUCUCCCUUUUUAUCAUGGUACUUUUUUCUGCUGAAACAAGAUUCUCCUCUUCCUGUUAGGUAAAGUGUAGAGUGCCCCUUCCAUCGGGUGUCCUUCCCACGGUUCCCGGAAGCACUCCUUUUUGUUUCUCUGUUGGGCGUUUUAAGCGCUGUUGAGUUUUCAUCUCUGAUUCCUACACACCUCUUAGGGUUUUCUAUCCGCCGAGGAAAUGCAUUUCUUUCGCAUACUUCUUUCAUUCUCUUUGUCUUCGGGUUGGUUUAAGUAUUCGUUCAUUGACGCCGGUUGUCUGACUCGGAGUGUUUCUUAAGGAUAGUUGCCCGUCCUUUUGGCUAUCUUUUUCGGGAUAAGAGAGAGACCGACUGCUUUUAAGGAUUAUUUAGGAUUGAGUUUUCUCGAGGGUUGAGUUUGCCCCUCUAGCUUUUGCAAGGGUGGAGUUUGCCCCUCUAGCUUUUCCAGCUGUAACCAAUCCAUGUUUGCCUAACUCUCUUCUAAGUGCUUGGCUUCUAAGUGGGGUCUACCUUCUUAUAGCUCUGCCGCACCUUCUUUAUUUCAGAAAACAGGACUUGAACUUGAAACUGGAUACUUUACUGGAUAUAAUUCCUGACGCUCGACGAAAGCAGAACAAGUGAUGUAUUCUCGGGAACUAAACCACGCCUAGUGCCUUGUAUGGUAGUUCUGAAAGUCCUGGGUCACUCAUAUGAUAGGGAAAACACUCAUUUCCGACACCUAAAGGCUGUUCGUAGACUAAACAUCUUACUUGUGCAAAGCCACUCUCUGCUCUGGGACAGGAUGUUGAAUAGGCAAGCAACUGCUAUCAAUCCUGAUUUUCGUAUUCAUGGCGUUAGUCCGAGCGGAGUGUUUUCUCAUAUCUAAAAGAGAAAGAAUGGGUUUCUACUCUACCAUAUAUAAGAAGAUUUUGGCGUAUGUAGAGGGGUGGUGCUUCUUCAGGCAAGGCAAUUCCAUGAUGUUUCUUUCUGUUAUCAGGUAAUCCCGAAAAGAAUGGUUUUCUCCCAUGAUGUUUCUUUCUGUUAUCAAGUAAUCCCGAAAAGAAUGGUUUUCUCCUAUAUAUAAGAAGAUCAAGAAUGGGAAUUUCGAUUUCAUUACACAUCUCUACUUCUACUGAUGGACACAAUACUAACUCCAAAGGUUUACUAGGCGCAAGAAUACUAAGUGGGGAGGUCUAGCUAAACCUGUCUUCGAGGCGGCAGCUUACUACUAAUGACCAAGUAACGGAACAAGCAGCGGGAGCAAAGGACAGAGGAAAAGGACAGAGGAAAAGCUAAUAGGGUAAUAAAGGGUCUUACCUCGCCAAUAAAGAACCAACCUCCAUCGUGGACACUGGAACUUGAACUGCUUGUUCGUUCUGUUCUGUCAACUCCAAGAAACAAACUUACCGAUAGCGGAACUCUCUGCGUCUUGCUUGUUUCUUUCGCCACUAACAUUGAGGACUUGGACUGGACCUAUACUCGGCUCGGGAAAGCCAGACACUUCCCUCUCUGAUAGACGUAAAGCCAAGAAAGAACAGAACCUCUAUCGUGGCCAACAAAGAUUCAAGCUAAGCACACAACCCGAACUCUACAACUAGGCAAAGGCAAUCACGCAAAGGGGUAAAGCCAACCAUCUCUCUCCUCUCCAUAACACCUUGCUUAAGAUCCCUUUCUUUCUUCGGGAACAAAUCCAGCAACAUCUUAUGCAUAUUCUCUCGUUGGCAAUGCCAUUAACUUAAGGGCUCUUCUACAUUUCUUAACCUCGUAUGGCCUUGCCUUCUCAAACACCUUUGCUGUAACUCCACUUUAAGGUUCUGAACCGACAACACAGGCCUUAGACACUAAAGCACUCGAACCAGUAGACGGCAAACCAAGCGCAUCUAUUAUUCUUGACUUCUCCGCCUUCUAUACAGCAUUCCUUUGAUUUGUCUUUGAUCAGUUCCAUUCCAUUCUCAAGGUUAACUCGACCGACUCUCAUGCUAAUUCUCUCUACGAUUUAACUAGAACAUAACCGAUUGCACCUGCUCUUGUUCUUAUUGGGCCUUGUAAGUGCAAUUCAAAUAAGUAGUUUCCAGUGUUGUAUCCUGUAUGUAUAGGGUCAUUUUCAUCACUUAUAUCAUAUGCGAGAUAGCUUCAAUAUUCCCAUUUUCUUCCUUGUUUCAAGUGUCGUUCUGGGCUUUCCCUUCUCUUUGCUUUGCGUGAUUAGCUUUCCUUAAGAGUUAGGGUUUCGUGCUUGUCUUUUGCUCUUUCAAGUCGACGAGAAUCAUAUCAUGAAUAAGAGGUUUAGUCUCAAGGAAAAGUAGAAAGAAUAGAGUGGAGUAUAGAAGUAGGUAAUGUCAUUUUAUAUGAGGUUAAGCUAUACACUUAUAUACUAGUAUUAGAGGUGUAGCCAGAGUAUGGACACCUAUUUCUCAUUAUAGAAUAAGAGGCUUUGCUCCCAUCUUUUCCUGCAAGAUGAUCUUCUGCGCUCGAUAAGAAAGAUUCGAUUAAUGAUGAGGCGUGAAAAGUAUUGCCAGGUUCAGGCCCAACUGAAUAAUUAGUUAGCAAGUAAAUCCCCUGUUUCAUACUGAGUCGAAGUUGAAGCAACAGUGAUAUAUUGAGUUUGAGUUCGAUAAUCAGCAGUGCGCUUACGGGAAGGCAAUUCCAGCUUGUUUACAGGCCAAACAAUAACAAGAUCCGGUUCAUAAGAUGUCUCCGAAGCAGUUCAAAAGUCACCAGCAAAGGGAGAGUCAAGAGCAGUAUCAAGUAUAUUAUUCUUCCAAUUCCGUUUCUGUUCGAGUCAAGCAUGAAAUGAACACAGAACUCGUCUACUUAGAGUGGAGCCAAUAACUUCUCUCUCUCUAUGACUUAGAGCUAGAGCACCAACUACAAGCCAAUCCUUUCAACCAGGCCGAGUAACUACUCAAAAAGCAAGAAUCGGACAGUUAAUAACUUUAUAUAACAAUUCCGUAUUAUGACAAUUCCUGUCUUCAUUCGCCAAGUCCUGUGUUCAAGAGCCAAUCCACUACUAAGUCCACCAAGCUUAGUAUCAUGUUGCGCGGUAGCGAGUUAAUACACGGCGUCAGUAACGGCCAAUCCACUUAUUCUUCCUAAUCGGAUACGAGGCGCAAGAUCCAAUCCAAUACGGGUGUUAGCAUUGUCCUAUAUCUCUCUAUUCUAUUCUGUCUGUUCUUUUCAUUGAACUGAACACUUAUUGUCAUCCCCACCGUAGGUCAGUAGGAGGCGGACCAGCGAGCAGAGCAGCAUACUCCCUUGUUAGUACAUGGAAAAGGACUCUCUAUAGGGAAGGAUCUUUCUUACAGUAUGGCGUGGUGAUAAAGAAUACCGGCUCUCGCGAACCUCUCAGCGGUACAUCAAGGAAGAAAUGCUUUUUCUUUCGUAGAAAAGAAUAGAAGAAAUGCUCCAUCUUGAGUGUAAGAGGCUUGUAUCCGAUACGAAAAGAUGUUGGUUGACCUCAGGGAUGCAUCUCCUUUAUCUCCAUCUUCGAGCCCAAUCAAUCGACCUAUUUAAUGCCGGGUUGGGUGCUUAGCCCUAAUAGGAAAUGCCGGGUUGGGUGCUUCGCCCUAAUCGGAUAGCGAAGAAAGAAAUCUAUCAGAGAGGCGGAUUCCCCACUAUCAAAUGCCAUGGGAAGCCCUCUAUCGCGGAGUCAAGUCACCAGCAAAUGUAGAGUCAGUAGGAGAAGAGAAGGCAGUAGGAGGCUUCUUACUAUACUAUGAGGAAGUUCAGGAGAGGUCAAUCUAAACAAAAUAUGCAGAACUCAUGCAAAGGAACCAUUUAUAUAUCCUAUAUAGAGAAAUAAGUAUUAGCAAUGUCAAGGAGAAAGGGCUUGCAAAGGUCCCGUCCUCUGUCGGGUAUAGAAUGUUCAGAGGCAAAAGAAAAGG
Molecule: long non-coding RNA, 61356 nt
Filed under: Musa acuminata (dwarf banana)
Lineage: Eukaryota; Viridiplantae; Streptophyta; Magnoliopsida; Zingiberales; Musaceae
Description: long non-coding RNA (MACU_LNC007988)
Source: RNAcentral